ACAAAGUAAGCUUCUCCACAUUGCAAAAUAGCUCCUUGAAUGCAUUUAAUGAGGAUGAGAAAUCCUUAAUUCUCAAGGUUCUCAAGCUCAGCCCCUCCAAAACUUCGAUACCUUCAUAAUAUUCACUUACAGCUAUAUUGUAGCUUUGUAGUUUAGGGAACACAAAGUUUUCUUGAGAACAUUGAUUAGUAGAAACUGUCAGUGCUAAUCCAGUCAAACCAGUCAAUGAAUUCAGCUCCAAUAAGUUAGCAUUGUUAUCACUUGUCAUGUGUAGCUCUUGGAGUGAGGUCAACCUGUUACAAACAAACACAAAAUGUAAUUAAUGCAAUAAUAGCACUUUCAACCGAAUGAUAAAAAUAGCAAGGUAAUGAAAUGAAUAAGAUAACAUAAACUUUUUUAUUUCUUCAUUCUUAAAGCUACUUUUGUACUACGGGUUGCAAUGUUUCAUAAUAAUAGCAGUGACCAAAAGCUCAUGCUAGAUAUAUAUAUGUUUGUGAUAGUCAAAUCAAAUAAAGUAAAUAAUAGAGAAAAAAGAUAAAAUAAAUUAUAUAAAAUUAAAUAACUGAAAACAAUAAGAUAAACAGUUUUACCUUGGUAGCAAGUUAGGGGGGAAAUAACAGUAUGGCCCUUCAUCGUAAGAAAAAUAUAGUGAUUUUAGUUUAUGCAAUCCCACUAAUUCUUCUGGUAGCUCAUAAAUAUUAGUCUCCAGCAAUGCAAAAAUCUCAAGGUUUUCCAGAUUCCUCAAUGAUGAGAUGUUCUCAAGCUCACAAUUUAUAAUGCACAGAGUUCGAAGGUUUGUCAAGAAUUGAAGUGCUUUGAGUGCGAGUACCACAUCUUGAAGAAGUAAAACUUGGAGGGUUGUCAUUCUUUCAAAAAAUGCACACGAAACUCUCAGUGAAUUGUUUCCUGUGAGAAACAAAGUCUUGAGUUUUGAAAAUUUCACUUUGUUAGGAAGAUGAUUGAUCUCAAUGUUCCAUAAGGAGAUUGCCGUAUAACAUCCAAACCUUUCACUCAUAGGCCAUUCCGUCAACCAAUCUUUUACCAUGAAUAUGUUUUCCCCUCUCGAUGUUAUCCAAUGAGCAAAAUCACGAACCACAUCAUGCAUUUUUAUAUGUUCUUUAUCAUUAGCUUCCAAUAAUAAACCAGACUUUUGGAGUUUUGACAGUGCUAGAUGAAUUUCCCUCCUUAAGUCUUCCAUGAAGUAAUUAUUAUUAAACAAUCCCUGACCAAUUCCACAUAUAGUCAACAAUUCAAUACUAAUCUCAUAAUCUUCCGGAAAAAGGGCACACAACAAGAAACAUUGCUUGAUAUUAUCUUGAUCCAAAUAAUCAUAACUAAGCUCAAGGCAUGUAUAAAUACCUCCACAAACAUGUUGAUUAUCCAAAUGCCUUGAGCUCUUGAGUCGUUUAUUUGCUGCUAUCCACGCAUCUAGACUUUCACCUUUUAGAGCCUUUGCCACAGUUACAAUUGCAAGAGGCAAACAGCCACAUUCAGGAGCAACCUCCUUCGCUACAUUCAAGGUGGGAGAGUCAUCUUUCAGACCAGCUUUGUCUUUGAAUAAAACCCAUGCUUCAUGUUCAGAUAAAAUGUUCAGCUUAAAUUCCUCUUCACAAUCCAUUUUACAACAAACUUGUUGAUCACGUGUAGUUAAAAGAAUUUUGCAACCCUCGUGUUCACCACCGAAUGGAAUUCCUAUAAUUUGCAAUUCAAGUUCUUUCCAAACAUCAUCGAGAAUUAUGAGAAUCUUCUUCUCACUUUUUAAUCUCCGCCAUAACUCUUCUGCUUUUCCUUUUUCUGUACUUGCUUUAAAGUUAAAAUGUAAGAUUUCGGCAAUUCUGUCUUGAAUUUUGUUGAAGUUCGGAGUUUGGGACACUGUAACAAUCACAACUUUAUCAAAGAGCUUUUGUUCCGUAGCUUGCUUCCCCACUACUUCCGCCAAAGUUGUUUUACCCACUCCUGGCAUUCCAUGCAAUCCAAUCAUGUUCACACCAUCACUUUUUAAAGCCUCCAUAAUCCCACUGAAAGCUAACAUUGAAGAUUCGGAACGCAUGAAAUCCUUGGGUACUAUGAACUCUAUUCCUUGAAGAGGAGGACGCUGGCCGACUCGUGAAAAGUUACAAGUCUCUAAAAGCUUAGAGAUAUCAAGUGUCUUCUUCUCUACUUCCUUACUUAAAGAGGAUCUCCAGCUCAUACCAGACAGCCAUUUGGAACGCUUGUUACUUUCUAUUUUAUCUGACAAAUUCUGCACAUCUUUCAGUUCUUGUCUUGCCUUCGUUAGCCAUUCCUCAACGUCAUGAUUAAUUACCUCAGUUUGCCUUUCGGCUUCAUUCACGUCAUUCUGUACCUUAUCGAUUGCAAGUAUAAGUUGUUCCCUCUUUGCAUUGAAAUCUUCAAUAAUUUCAUCAAAACCGAAAAUAGGUUUUCCCAAUUUCCCUGCCAAUUUUUUCAGAGCAUUUGUAGUGAUAUUGGCAGCGACAUUGGAAAACACAGAGGUUGCAAAUUCAGCAGGACUGGUUUCCUUAGUAUCCAUUCACUGAUUAUCUGAGGUUGAAGAACAGGUUUGUUUGAGCAAAAGUAGUAACAGAGAGACAAAAGAAAUUAUUAAAAAUUUCAUUUUGUAAUAUAUAAAAGUAAAAAAAAAAUCAAAAAAAGAAAGAAAAUUGCAAAAAUCAACUUCUACAAAGCUAUAUUGGAAGCUAUGUUCUUUAGUUAUUAAAUAUUAAUGCAUUACAAAAUUGACUAAUAAUGACAAAAUUUCAUAGUUGAAAAUUUGCAGUGGAUUUGGUUGACUAAUAACUACUACUAAUUAUUAAGAAACUGUUUCCCCUAAACCCAAGAGAUCAGCUCACAGAAAAAUAAAAUAAAAUGCAAAUAUCUGUCAAGCUAAGAUGAAAAGAAUAGCUUAAUUUGAAAAUAGAAAAUAUCAGCCAAAGCAUCUGAACUCGAAAAUAUAUACUCAACUGUAAAACCAAGAAGAGGAUGAAGAUUUACAUACCAAGGAAAUAUAUGUGAACUUUGAGGAGCCAAGACAGAGCUUCAUAUAUUUCAGACACUAACAAAGUCGGUGAAGGUUUUUUUUUUCUUUUUUUUUUUGACAAAUAAAUUAUUUAUACUCAUAAGGACAUAUUUACGAAAUAAUAGUGACUAAAUUUCAUAGUUGAAAUUUGUCAGUGGAUUUGCUUAACUACUAGUAGGAAUCAGUUUUCUUGUGGAUUCCAAAUAGUAAAGUACCGAAAAAUCAAAUAUCUACUCAAAUGUAAAAUCAAGACAACUAAACCGCCAAAGAGACAGAUGAAAAUUUACAUACCAAGGAAAUCUAUAGAUGAACUCAGGGGAGCCAAGACGGGCUUCUGUUUUGAUCCAGGCAAUCUCACAAGGUCGUUGAAGUUUUUUUCUUUGUUUUUUUAUUUUUUUUUGUGUUCAAAGAAAACUGAAGUUGAAAUAAACUUUGCACUGCAAUGAUGAGAAGGCCAAGGAAUUAAUAAAUAACAGACUUACACUUGUCUUCUUUUUAAUGCGUAUAGAUAAUUCUGCUUCUGGAAGGUACUGAAAUCCUUUCUUGAAACUUACCACUCUGUUCUCACUACUUGAAUGUGAAAGGGUAAGAGACAAAUACAAGUUUCUAGCUCUCUGCUUCACACAAAUGCCAUGAGUGGAUUGUAACUGUAGACGAUCAAAACUGUUAAUUUGGCCACACAAAAUAAUUCAGUGCCAAUUUUGCAUGUAAAGAUUGCAGAUGUAUUCUCAAAUGCAUAAACCAUAGAAGAAAAUGAUGCACAUAUAUACCAAGGAAACAUGAAGUUUGAGGACCCAAGGCCAAGCUUUUCUCUAUUGAUCAAAGAAAACUCAAGUAGAAAUCAAGUUUGCACUAUAAUAACCAAAAGCCCACUAGCAGAGGGAAUUAAUAAACAACAAAUAUCUGUCAAUCUAAGAUCAAAAGAACAACUUAAUUUGAAAAUAGAAAACAUGUGUCAAAGCAUCUAAACUUGCAAAUAUCUAUACUCAAAUGUAAAACCACAGAAGAAGAGGAUGAACAUUUACAUACCAAAGGAGUAAUACAUGAACUUUAAGGGGCCAUGACAGAGCUUCUAUUUUGAUCCAGCCAAAAUAUAUUACAGAAACUGACAAAGUCGGUGAAGGGUUUUUUUUUUCUUUUUUUGAGUUCAAAGAAAACUGAAGUUGAUAUAAUAAACUUUGCACUGCAAUGAUCGGAAGGCCAGGAAAUUAAAACAACAAAAAGACUUUCACUUAUAAUUCUGUUUCUGAUAACAAAAACAGUAGUUGAACAUAGAAAGUAGAAACUCUUAAGGCAAAGACUUGUUUUCUUUGGAGUCGUGGAGAUACUCUGCUGGUUGGCUUUCCAGGAAGUGUUAUUGGAACAGACCACCUUCAACUUGCAUAUUGAUGUUAUUGGAACAAAGUGGAAACUUUAAAAAACGGGUGAGCAUUAUGGUAAGUCUAACCUUAUUGUAUGGUCAAUAAAUAUAAUUAAAAAAAAUAAUAAAAAUUUGUUUGAUAGUUUAACAAGUAAACUAUAUACUUAAUUUUUAAGCAUAUCCAUUUUAUUUUAUGUUAAUAACAUAGAUCAUUUUUAAAUUUAUUUAUUUUUUAAAUAUCAUUUAAUUUUAAUUUUAUUUUUAUCUUAAAAUAUAUGAAUAUUUUUAUUUUUAAUAAUAACAUUAUUUCUAAAUAAUUUAAUUCAAUCAAAAUUUUUUUUUUUCUCAAUUAAGCUUGUUAUCAUGGUAGGUUACGUUAAAUCUUACAUAGUUACAUCAAUAUUUAAACAAUUUUUGUUCCACUUUUAUGAUUUUUUAUGUUAAUUCUUAUAUAUUUGCGUUAAGAUUUUUUAAUUGUUAAUUUUUACUAUAAUUAUUUUUAUCCUUAUUAUUAUUCAUUUAUAAAUUAAAAUUUAAAUAUUUAAUUUUUAUAAAUAUUAUAUUUAUUUUAACUUAAUUGAUUUAUUUUGUUAAAUUUUAUAUAUUUAUAUUAAUAUUUUAAUAACAAUUAUUCCACUUGCAUAAUUUUUUACUUUAAUUUUUAUAGAUUUACGUCAUACCUUUUCCUUUUUUUUUUAAUUGAACAUAUUGUCUCCUAUGAUUUCAAUAUAUUGAAUCUGUAUAAAUCACUAGUUGCAAACAAAAAAAAAAAAAGAUCUCCAAGCUUUCUUUUUUCUUUUUUCCUUUUCCUAAAUUUGGAACAAUAGAGAGUCGACUCCUAAUUCUUUGAACAACAGCUACAUAGAUCAAUUACUGAGUGUCUAAGUCAAAUGCUUGGGUGCAUCCACAAACUUCUGUUGAAUUACUUUAAUAAAACUUAAGUUAAUUUCUCUAAAAAUUUACCAUGAUUCAAACGUAAGUUCACACCUUCUAUUUAUAUUAAUUUCUUUAAUAUAACCUUUUAUUACGUAAGUUCAGACUUUCACUUAUCUUCUUUGGAAUGCAUGCAGAUUAUAAUUCUGCUUCUGAUAACAAAAACUGUAAUUGAAUAUAGAAAGUAGAAACUCUAAGGCAAAUUAAGACUUCUUUUCUUUUGAAUCUCUUUUUCUUUUUAUUGUUACUAAUUUUUCUUAUUCAUAUCCUUAGUGAAUGACAAGGGCCCCAACAUCUUAUGCCUUAUCAUUGACCAAUUCUCUCACAAAAAGACUGGAAAAAAAAAAGUAAAGAAUGGAGUCAUGAAAACUCUCUGCUAAGGACACUGGUUUUUUUUUUUCUUAUAAUUGGGGAGGGGGGAUUCGAACUUUACUUUUUAAGUAGGGAGAUUACACACCAACUAAUAAAUCAAAUGUUCGGGUGCAGCUGAGGACCUUGGUUACCUUCCAGGAAGUUUUAUGAAAACUAGAGGAUGGGCUUGCGAGGAUGUCAAUGUAUAGAAAAUUUUUGAAAUUCUGCUUCAAAUUCAUUGAAUGAAUAUAUUAAAAUGAAAAGCCAUAAACUUAUAUGUAUUAUAUGUGUGAAACUGAUGGCUUUUCCGUCACAUUUAACAAUAAAUUGAAGUGGAUCAAACCUUAAGCAGCUGAUUUUUGAAAAAGCAUUUGGUUAAUUCUCACUCAAAGACAAAAUAUUGAUGAAAGUCUAAUUAAUGCAAAAUUGACUUCAUCAGAAAAUCAUGCCUCCUCGUGGUUAAUUAAUGUAUCUGUCUGAUUAUUUCAUUGGGAGGGUAAAAUAAAAUGAAUGCCUCUUCUCCCGUCCUUCUCCUCUUCCCUAAAGAACAUGUGACAGUGGGUCCGCACUUUGAAUAUUGUGUGUAAUAGGGAAGAAAGAGGUUUGGUCAGUCGUCACCUAAUUCAUUAUCUCUGCUCUAAAGUUAACAAAGAAAUAUUAAUUUGGAAUUAGGACUCUUCUUAGCUCUUGCUUUCGAAAGAAUUAAGUCUAACACGAAAAUCUUAUUUAUCAAAGUAAAAGGGAGAUUCUUGGAAUUUUCCCAGAUAUUUUUGAUUCAUGGUGGAAUAUUUACGCCACAAAAUUUUUGAUUCUUGGAAUUUACUUUUAUUCUAAGGAUAAUUAAGUUCAUACCUUUCAUUUUUUCUUUGUGUAUAUAUGCAAAUGAGACACAAAAUUAUUGGUGGAAUUUUGAAUUAUUGAUGCCUUUCUUUUUGUCGUUUUUCAUUUAUUUUUCAGUAUUAAUAUCUGAUCUACUUGGUUAGUUUACAUGAAAAACACUUGACUCUCCUUUUAAAUAGAAACUACUAUUAUUAUCUCGUAAGUGUCUUUAAGAGUUAUCACUUUACCCUAAUUUAUAUUUCUGUAGCAAUUAAGCAUUACUUGGUAAAUUAUCUUCUAGAAAUGGGUAACGACCUACAUUUAGAAGCAUUUUGUGAACUUUUGCGGUGCUAAAUCAUCAUGGACAAAUUUUAGUGAACAAAAGAUUCUUCCCGCAGCAGCUUUCUAAUAAAUUCUUAUACAUGAUGUAAUCAUGAGUGUUGUUUCUUGAGCCGGAAAUGACUUUAUUUAUAGGGAUGAAUAGAAUAUAACAUAUCCAACUUUGAUAUUCAAAUAAUAGAACAAAGUCAAGACAAGAUAAGUGUUUUGCUUAAGAAAAAGAAGAAUAAAGGAAAGGAAGACAGAUAGGCCAAUUUGGAUUUAGUUGACUUAUAGUUACGAUGACUUGCACUCAAUCCUAUAGAUGGGCCAAAGAAAUUGAAUUACUUCAAUGAAGCAUAGAUUUCCCCUAAAUAAAAUUUACUUUUAUUCUAAGGAUAAUUAAGUUCAGACCUUUCAUUUUUUCUUUGUGUAUAUACGCAAAUGAGACACGAAAUCAUUGGUGGAAUUUGAAUUAUUGAUGCCUUUCUUUUUGUCAUUUUUAAUUUUUUUUUCAGCAUUAGUUUCUGACCUACUUGAUUGGUUUACACAGAAAACACUUGACUUUCCUUUUAAAUAGAAACUACUAUUAUUAUCUUGUAAAUGUCCUUAAGAGUUAUCACUUUUCCCCUGUUUAUAUUUCUUUAGCAAUUAAGCAUUACUUGGUAAAUUUUCUUCUAGAAAUGAGUAAGGACCUACAUUUAGAUGCAUUUUGUGAACUUGUUGUGGGGCUAAAUCAUCGUGGACAAAUUUUAGUGAACGAAAGAUUCUUCCUGCAGCAGCUUUCUAACAUAUUCUUAUACACGGUGUAAUGAUGAGUGUUGUUUCAUGGGCUGGUAAUCGCUUUAUUUAUGGGAAUGGAUAGAAAAAGAUAUGCGUUUUGCUUAAGAAAAAGAAGAAUAAAGGAAAGGCAGACAGAUAGGCCAAUUUGAAUUUGGUUGACUUAUAGUUAUGAUGACUUAUACUCGAUCCGAUAGAUGGGCCAAAGAAAAAAAGGGAGAAAAGGAUGGAGUUCAUGGAAAUGCUCUCGUAAGGACCCUGGUUGGCUUUCCAGGAAGUGUUAUGGCAAGAGGAUGGGACUUGCGAGGAUGUAAAUGUAUAGGAAAUUUUCCAACUGACCACAAUUGUUGAAAGUCUGCUUCAAAUCUCUGAGUGUUCUUUUUCUUUUUUUGUGCUCCUACGAAUUUAGAAGAAAAUCGAUACAUUAUUAUGAAGACUUCCUUGUUUAAUGUAGUCAUCAGUUUCACAAUUAGUUCAAUCUUUUUUACUGAAGCAUAUUUAUAGUAUAUUGUCCUUGUUUAAUAUACUUGUAUAAGGAUUAGUAUAAUUUAUGAAGGGAGCCUUGUGAUGAAUGGUGGUAGUUUAUCUGACCGCCUUCUGAUGCAUCUUUCUUUAUCAUGAAGGGAGCCUUCACAACCAAAUAAAGUGGGACAAAAAGAACAAGCAUUAUUAAUUUUAUGUUAACAAGUAGUAUAGCAUAUAACAAAUAAACAAAAAUCAGUGAUAGUACAGAGCACUGUUAUUUCUCUUCGUCCCCAAAUAGUUUCUCUAGUUCAGAAGCAACUUCUGCUGUGAUUAUUUAUAGUUUUGGCAGAGCAACACUAACUGGAAAGAGACUUUUCAGUUUAUUGCAGCCUCCAAUUCUGGUUUUAUUCAGUGCACAUAAACAUAGAGGUUGGAAUGAAUCCUUUGAUGAUGAUGAUCCAAUUCCAAGUGCAUGUAGAAAUGAUCCAAUCCCAUUUUAUAGUUCUUUUUACUAGAAUUUUCUUUUGAUAUAGAGUAAUCACUUAAUUUUUUAAAAUUCUUUUGGUGAACUUGUUGCAUGGCUAUACUACCAUGCCUAGAUCUUGUAGGUAGGAGUAGCAAUCAAACUUUUCAGUAUUUCAAUAAAUCACUCGAAAACUUCUCAAAAUAAAAAUCUGCCUGGUUUUAAUUUUUCAUGUCUUAAUUCCUACCUAACAUAUUUACACAACUUAUUCACCAAAAAUUUAAAAUACAAAAAAUAAGGAUAAGAAACAGAGAAAUUUCACUCUUGUUUUUCUACUUAUUGCACAUAUAGAGAGCAACAUAACAUUGAUUGGGUAAAUUAUUGAAUUCGAUUGAAAACUCCAUUAAGCAAACAUCUUUAACAGGUCAAAAAUUAUUUUUAAAAUUUUUGAUUUUGUAUAAUAUUUUAAAAAAUAAUGAUCAAAAUUGAGUUUAUUUUUAAUGAAAAAUAUCCAAUAGAUACAAACAAAAUGGGAUGGAGAUAGCAUGUAUUUGUAAUAAUAUUCGGUUCCGUUGAUGAAUAUUUUUGCUUUCUUUUCUUUUCUCUUUUUUGCAAAAAAAGAAUAGAAAGGAAAAGGAAAAAUAAAAAAAUAAAUAGCAAAAAAGAAGAGAUAAAAGUAUCAAACUGGUACGGAAUUUUAAAAAAUAGUCAUGUAAUAUGGAUAAUUAUGGAAAUAAAAUGUAUGCUAUGGUAAGAAAAGGAAAUUAAAUUGAACUUACUAAUUCUCUUGCUUUUGAGCCUUUUUUGUCUUUUGAUAGGGUUAGCUUUUUAGUCUCAUGGUUUAUGAUGCUACCAAUUUUUUUGAGUAGCAGAUCCGAUUUGGAAAUUGUACAGGAUCUCUUCACCCUCACCAGCAGUUUAUAUUAUGAGAGUCUUUUGCAAAUUAACUUGAGACUUGAAAUGACAUGUCAGGUGUUAAGAUAAAUAAAAUCCACUUUUCAAAAAAAAAAAAUCUAAUUCUAAGUGCAUGUAGAAAUGGUCCAAUCUCUUUUUAAAAUUCUUAUUGUAAGCAUUACUUGGUAAAAUUUUUUUCUAUCAAUGAGUAUUUACUUUAUUUUAAAUGCUUUUUAUGAACCUAUUGCCUGGCUAUACUACCAUGGUCAGAUCUUAUAAGUUGGAGUAACCAUCAAACUCUCAAUAUUUCAAUAAAUCACUUGAAACUUUUAUAAAAUAAAAAUCUACCUGCCUUGUAUAGGGAAAUUAAAGUUUAAUUUUCCAUGUCUUGAUUGCUGCAUAACAUAUUUGCAUAACCCUAAAUACAAAAAUAAAGAUAAGAAACAGAAGAAUUUCAAACUUGUUCUUCUGCUUAUUAUACAUAUAAAGAGUAACAUAACAUUGAUUGGGUAAAUUAAUGAAAGCAAGUGAUCCCUUCGCUUGACAACUCUAUGAAACCAACAUCCUGACCGACGAAAAGCACAAUAAUUUCAAGUAACUGUUUUUCUCUUCUUUUUUAUGUAAAUAAUAAAAGUUAGCACAAGUAAAUCACCAAAACUUGAUUAAGACUAGGCAAAUAGGUGAAAAAAAUGAAAAUGGAAAGCAACCUUUGCUUUACCAGUGUUUACUCAUUGAUGUUUAAAAAUACCUUUGCAACUUCCCCUGCAAUCAUCUCACCAUUCUUCCAUGUAAGGUGGCAGCUGAUAAUUAAUCCAACUUUCUCGGUACCAUUCUACGGUCUUGGUGUGGACUACAUUUUGAGCAGCGGCGGACCCUUCAGUGACGUCUUGCUUAACUAGUAGCGAUGCCUUUUUAAACAAUUGAAAAAGUGAAAUAUAAAAUAAAAGUAUUACUGCAGAAGGUAGGAAGGAACCAAAGUCAGCGUACCAGUUGGAACCCCAACCUGCCCCAGCGAAGCUUACGCCAGGUGGUUUGCCGACAGGGGUUACCAGCCCACCAUCACGGGGUACUCAGAGUGAAUCGUCAGGUGGACCGGGUUGCCCACUUAAUCAGAGCACAGGAGCCUGCAAAAACAAUAACCCACAAGGCAUGUCAAACUUGCCAUGGAAGUAAAACCUGCUUACAUUUUGUAGUCUUCAGCUAAUUGCGUGGUAGGCACGGGCUCUUGUGUUGUGUUAGUAUUCAUCAUAAGCAGGCAGGCUUCAGUUUGUAAUUUAAGCAUUGUGUAAGUGAAGUAGAAUUAUGCGUUAUCUUGUACUUUGUGACCCCGUUGCUAGAUAGCUAGAAAGGGCUACUUGGGCAGACGGCUGAGGGGAUGCUCUUUGCACUUGUAAGGUGAUGUUAGAAGUUUGAGAAAAGGGCCAUGCUCUUUGGUGUUUUAGACUGAGAUGGUGAGUUAGUUUGACUUCCUUGUCUUUGUUGUAGUUGCUUCUUUUGUUGCCCAUCAGAGUUAACUAGUGUAAUUUAUCUGUUUCUCCAUUCAUCAUUAUCAAGUUGAUAUUGAUGCUAGUUGAGCUCAGCUGGGUGUUUACUUAUAUGCGGACGAUGGGUGACGAUGCUUUCAAUGUUGAAUGCUAAUUUGCCACUAUUGAUCUCUCCACUCAGCUUUCGUAUGCAUUUCUGUAAGAGACAUCAUUAUUCCUAUAUCUGAUUGCCAUCCAACAUAAAAAAAAAAAAAAUCUCAUGUUAUGAGGGCAAAAGAAAAAAAUAUACAUAUUAUGAUUUAUAAGCAUUUUAAGCCAAAAUUCAUUCAAGUUGGAUUUAGAAAAUUUUUUUCUUUUAUUAAUUUUCGAUGAUUUAGAAAAGAGAGGUUUAGUAAUUUUCAAUAUUUGUGAAUUUUGGAAAGAUAAUGUUAAAAAAAUCAUUAGUAAAAUUAUGUUGCAAUUAGCUUUUACAUUUGUUUAAGAUAAUAAAUGCAUGCUGCCAAUAUAAAUGUUUUGUUAGGAAGUAACAGAAAAAAAUUAAGAAAAUACUUUGUGCUUUCCAUCAAUUUGUCAGCCUUGUCCAUCAAGUCCAAAACGGAAGCAAUGAGGGUGCGCAACUAGAGAACGGGGAAUGGACAGUGUGGGUUUCAAGAAGAGUUGUGUUCAUUGAAAUGAUAGAAAUUUUUGUAAGCGUAAGUAAAAUGAUAUAAGUGAAAACUUAAGCUCUCCAAGGUACAAUCGGCAUACCUUAUAAGACAUUGGAGGCUUGCAACUUGGAUGGGACUACUCAUAAAUCCCAAAGAAAGUACACAUAGCAGUCUAUGCAUCUAAUUACUCAUAAAUCAAAGGGAUUACUUUAAUAUUCGUUUGAUUUGGUUACAAAGGUCAAUUAACUUAUGACUUGACACGUAAAAAGUCGAAAGCUAACUUUUUCUAUUUUCAAAAAUUUAGAUUAGUUCAUAUCUUUUUAUUAUAUCUAAUUAAAUCUCUGAAUUGUUAUUUUUCACUAUAUAUUAAAAUAAUUUUAGAUGAAAUUCAUGGAUGACUAUUAAUCCCUUAACAUUUAUAAGGCAUGUGAAAAAUAUGAUGUCAUAAUAAAAUACUGGUUAUAUUUACUAAUUAGAUCAGUAAACUAUAUUUAUUUUACCAUGUCAUGUGUCCAUCAUUGCCGCAUCAUAUUUUCCACUUGUCCUACAAAUGCCAACAUUGUCACAUAAUAUUUCUCAUGUAUCCUAUAAAUGCCAACAUGACAAGGGAUUAAUGCGUCCAUGGAUUCUAUAUAUCCAAAUAAGGGAGAGUGUUUGGAUAGUGAAAUAUUAUAUUUUAGAGCUUAAUUAAACAGCUUUAAAAGUCUCUUGCGACAUAUAAUGUGAAACAUCCGCGGCCAAAUCCCCAACAAAGAUUGUGUAAUCAAGACCCUCAUCUUGCCUCUUUUCCCCGUAUCCAAGUGCCGCCCAAUUCAAUCUAAAAUUCUAUAAACAGAGGGAAGAGAAUCCAUAAUAAAUAAUAAAUAAUUUACAACCGUCAGAGCUAUAAUUUCUUACUCUAUCUCUUCAAAGUAAGAAAGUAACUCGAACAUCCUCAAAAAUUGUAUGAAAUUCCAACUACGUGAUGUCAAAGUUAUCAGUUUUAUAUCUCCUAUUUGACAUUUGCAUUGUAAUUUUGAAAGAAGUAUUAAAUAAAUGUAUAUAUCCAUUAGAUUUGUGUCAUUUUUUUUUAUGUUAAACUUGUAAUUUUUACAUCCAAAUGUUGAUAUCGUUUUUCCAAAAGUUACAUUUUUCUUAUUUAAAAGCCAUAAAUAAACAUAUAUAUAUAUAUAUCCAUUAGAUUUGUGCUAUUUUUUUCAUAUUAAACUUGUGAUUUUAACAUUCAAAUAUUGAUAUUGCUUUUUCAAAAAUUAUAUUUCUCUUGCUUAAAAGCCAUAAAAGCAUAUUGAGUUCGGCUAAGUUAAGGCCUAUACAUAUCAAGAAGAAGUGGGCUUUACCCCUGUAACAUGGCUAAUUUGAUGGAAAAAAAAAAAAAAGCUCAUUUUCAGAGCUACUAGUAAGUCCAAAUUUUUGUUUAAAAAAAAUCAUCCAUACGGUUGUAAAAUUAUAUCUUAAUUUCACCAUUUUACCAUAUUUGUAACAAUUUUGUAAUGUCAUGUCAAUAUUUAUUAUAAUUUAUUAAUAUAUCAUAUUGAUGUUAUCUGAUUUAAAAUAAUAAAUAAUAUUUCAAUUAUUAAUACUAAAAAUUUAUUUAAAUAUAAAUUAAAAUAAAUAAAAAUUUAUUUAAAAUUGUAAUACUAUAUAUGUCUAAAAUAUUAAAAAAAUAAACUAAAAUCUUAAAUUUCAAUCUUUUACAAUAAUUUAUCUUAAAACUAAAUUAAUAUAAAUUAUUAUUUUCUAGAGGUUUUUCUUUCUUGCAGAUUUUUUUUUGUUUUGCUGUUGACUUUGAUAAUUAUGAUUAGGAAGACGACAUUAACUUCUUCUUUUUUGUUUUUUUUUAUUAAGUAAUAUUAUUCUGUUUUUAAUAAGAUAUAUAUGAAUCAUUAUUGUUUAUGGAAUUAAUGAAAAAGAAAUUUUUUUGGCCUUCCCACUUUAUGGGUUGUGGGUCCCGCGCCCGUACGAGUGCGUUCAAACAAGCAUCGGCAGGGGCGUCAAAUAACCUGACGGUAUUCGCCCCCACCCCAAAUAAAAAUAAAAAAUAUAAAUAUAAAGUAAAUAAACAGCCCGAGACCCAGAGAAGUUACGGACCCGAAGCCUGAGAGGAGUCGAAAAAGGAAAAAGAAAUUGGUUAGUCUCCGUCGUUCCCUUCCAAACCUUAAAAAGUACAACUUUCCUGGCCUGCUCCGGAACUCUCUCGAACUUUCUCUAAUCUACCUAUUAUACCCUCCCACACUUUAUACUCCUAAGUUCUGUCUAUUAUGGCUGUACCUCUUGCAUUGUGAACAUCUCCAUGCUCGACUACCUUCACCAGCUGAUGGAAUCCUUUUCCUUCUAGGUCUUCCCGCUUGGCUUCACCAAGGUGGGGGCAAGACGAUAAUUUAUUUCACAUGAGGGGGGAUGUCCCACUCACUAGGAUGCCCUACAGGCCUAAUGGAUCAUGAAUAACCCUCCACCAAAACGGUUGUCUUAUAGUAGUCAAUGCAGAAUUCAAUGGCUUCACGAUUGCAUUUACUGAAAAAUACAAUAAACUCAAUCGUCAAGCACAAUGUAAAUGCUAUGUCAAUUACUGUUCAAAUAAGAAAUAAAGAUAUUCUGAUCUUAUUGCUGCAAUGGCAUGGCUGCAUGGCAUUAAAUCUGUUUAGAACUCACAAGAUGAACAUGUCUUCCUAAACAGGUUUAUAAGUCUGUCCAUCUUCCCGUCUUUAACUUCAAACUCCACUCGAUUGAUAGGCUUAACUAGAAAGCGAUGUGCAUCAUUGAACCGUUUGCUCAACUACCUGGCAACCCAAAGGCUGAAGGGCGUGGUCACCUUGACGGCUUCCUCGUACCUGUCAUGGAACCAAUGCUGGAACAUAUCUCUGAUGAACUCGAUCAAAACAGUGAUUGGCAUUUGUCUUGUAUGCUUCAAGCAUGAGUUAACACAUUUCGCAAUGUUGGAUGUCAUCAUUUGGUAUCGCCUUGCCGGUGAACAUGCACGUGCCCAUUUCUCAGGCCCUAUUCUCAUAAGGUCAGCGUGGGCUCCCGAGUGAAUCUGCUGUAGCUGGUUCAUAUGUCUAUUGAAAUCAGCCACUUUAUAGCAAUCUCGAACAAGGGUAAAAAGCAUACAAACAUCGUCGCGCUUGAACUUGUUUUUAAAGUUUUUUUCAAGUGGUAACCACAUAAACCAUGGUGCGCUUCUGGGUAUGCAUUUUGGAUUGCUUUCUUAAUGUCGAGAUGCUGAUAAAAAAUGAACAUAGUGUUUUCAGGACAACCAACCGCAUCACGCAGCUUGCUAAGACACCACGUCCACGAGUCUUCGUCUUUAACAUGGCCGAUGCCAAACGCAACUGGAAAUACGCACUUGUUCGCAUCUUUGCUUACAGCGACAAACAGAACACCCUUGAACUUGCCUUUCAGAUGUGUCGCAUCAAUUGCAACCGUAAGAAGCAUUACAUCCCUAAACCCCCGAAUACAAGCCCCGUAUGACCAGAAACAAUAUUUGAAUCUUUCUUCCUCAUUAGUAGCUACUACAGUCACUGUGCCAGGAUUUUCUUGUUUCAACAUAUAAAAAUAUGAGAGUAGUAGUUGAAAUGACUCCUCCGGUGGACCAAAAACAAGCCUCUCCGCAUACUCCUUCGCUUGCUAAGCCUUACCAUACAAGCAUUCCAAUCCCCACUGAACCCUCAUCUCACAAAUUAUGUCCUUAGGUCUCAAUGCUACUCCAUUAGCUCGAAGCUUGUGUGACAUAAGUUCACCAAUCAUCUUUGCACUCGUAGUUGAAAACCGCCCUUGCAAACCAUCAACGGUACAGGUGUGUACUUUGUGGAAUGUCCGAACUUGCCAAUAUUCUCCUAUAUCAGGUAACUUCGUUGCACGCACACUGAACUUGCAUGCCUUGUCCUUGCAACCAACCUCAUAACGAGCUUUACAUGACAUUUUUACUCUUAUCGCAAACUUCUCUUUUAUAACCAACAUGUUCAAAGCUCGUUUCAACUCAGCCUUUGAUGAAAACAUUUUUCCUUUGUAUAAGCGAUCUUCAGCACAUGUCGACUCCUUAGUGGUAAUUGUUUGGAAGGAGAACCUUUCUGCACCUGCAAUUACCCACGUACAAGAUAUCCCUGUAUUUUCCCUUUCUUGAUCACUGUCAUCGAGCAAUGCAUUAAGGGAACAAAUCCCGUUCUCACCAGUGAUGGGGUUAUUGUAUAUGGGGUCAUCACGCUAAACAUCUAGGACAUCAACACCUCCAACAGGUUCCGUUUUGCCUUCAACAUUAUUACGAAUUGGAAUGUCACUGUCACAAAGGCAGUCAUCGUCUGAAUUGUCAUCUUGCCAUUGUUCAAGCCCAUCAUUUGAAGUGUCAUCAAAUCUAUCUUCACCAGCAGUGAACAAAUCCUCAUUUCCCUCAUCAAAUGCAGUAUUAUCCUCUAGUGUCGUAGUGUCACCCUCCAACCUCACAUUGUUGUCCUUAAGUGUCGUAUUCUCAUUUAACAAUGGCAUUAUGCACUCUACAGUUUCACUUGAUCGUUGCAUUUGUUAGAGAAAAACAAGAAAUUGGUUUGAUGCACAUCCUGAUCGAAAUUGUGUAGCCAACUAUUCUGUGAAUGUCGUUUGUCUACCGGGCUGCAAAAGCUCUUGUGCAUACCUCAAUUGCCAUUGUUAUGGGUUCCGAAUCGAAUGCUGUGGUAUAUGUGAAGCAUUUUAAAUCUCAUUUUGAUUGAUCUGAUUACCAUGUUGUCCAACUUCUUCAUGUGACAUAACAUUUGUUCGGCGUCCCUUAAUGCUGACAUACACAGUCGAAACAUUCCUCUGUUCUAGCAGAAUUAAUGCAACAUCCUCAUCGUCCUUAAUAAUUGGCCGUGAUAGCUCUCCAGGCAUAUUGAUCAAUGCAUGUAACUCAAUCUUGUCAAUUUCUGAGUUUACCCCAAUAAAAUCUUCAACCAGCUUCAUCAAGCCCGCAAACGACAAAUCACUCCUAACCUCCCGCAUUCGUGACUCACCACCCUUGUAAAUGCCAUCCACCCACUGACCACCAUGUCUUAUCACAAGUCGCACAAUUGGAACCCCACUGAAAUUUUGAAAAAAAAAUAUUGUUAAUCAUUUUACACAAUACACGUCGUGAUAAAAAAUUUAUCAGUCGUGUUGUUACACGCCAUGCAUAUAACGUAAAAUAUUGUAACACAUCAUGCAUAUCAAAUCAAAUGUCGUGACACGUCAUGCAUCACUAUCGUGACAUGCCAAUCACAGUAAUUACUGACUCGUUACACCAACAACCAUGACACUGUAAAAACCCAAAAAACCAGUUUAUCCACAACACGCCAGGAACAACCGUGACACACCCAAAACCCAAAAAACCAGUUAACCCACGACACGCCAGGAAUAGCUGUGACAUGCCAAAAACCCAUAAAUUCAGUUGUCAUGCCAAGAACAAUUGUGACACGCAAAAAAUCCAUAAAUUCAGUUAACCCACGACACGCCAGGAACAACCGUGACAUGUUAAAAACCCAUAAAUUCAAUUAACCCACGACACGCCAGGAACAGCCGUGACACGCUAACAACCAAAAAAACUAGUUAACCCACAACACGCUAGGAAUAACCGUGACACGCUAAAAUAACGCUAACACAUGUUAUAGAUGCAUGGCGUGUAACAACUCUGGGCAAUGUUUCUAAUCUAACUUCUAAUUUACACCAAAUGUUUCAGAAAUUUAAGUGUGUUGCAAAAAUAAACCCAAUAACAGGUACCUUGAUGUCAUCUCUGCUAUAGGGUCCGUUAAUCUACGAUAAUGUGGCCAGAUGCCUAGAGAUAGACCAUAGCCGAUGACGAUGGUGCUCAAUAGAGAGUUCACAGAGCUUAUACAGUUCAGAGAUCUAAGAGAGUUGACGACGAUGGUGCUCAACAGAGACUUGCCAGAGUUGAGACAGUUCAAAGAGUUGAGAGAGAAAGAUGACCGAGCCUAAACAGCUGCGCGCAUUUAUUUUUAUUUUUUUCUAUUUUCUCUUUGGCAUGAGGCAUAUAGCUCAAACAAAUGAGCAUUUAUUUGAAACGAUGUUUUUAAGGGUAUUUUGGUCUACUCAUGCUUAUUUUUUGCUAGAAACAGAUAAUUUUAUAUGGAUAGUUAUUUCUAAAAUCACCUUAUCACAAGGUCCUUUUCUUACAAUUUUCUCUUUUUUUUUUUGCUAUCAUUUCUUGUCUUCUUUUUGCCUCAAAUGUUUUUUUUUUAAGUUCUCAUUAAUUAAGAAGAUACAGAUUACUACUUCCAAAAAAAAAAAAGAAGAUAAAGAUUACAAAUGGGACAUAGACAUCAUUGCUAUCAAAGCUUUUGAAUGAUUGAUAAAUGUCUUUUAGAUUUUUGUCAUUUUGCAAUCAUUUUUACCUUGGGAUCCAUUUAUUUCUGACUUUCUUGCUUGGUAGGUUUAAUGGCUUUCAUGGAAAAAUACUUGCCCUAUUUUUUUUUUUUUGGAUUAAAUUCUGUGUUUUAAGGGAUUGAAGCUUUACACUUCGUUUAACACAAGGAAAAAUGGCGAAAUACAUCAAACGAUUCAUAUAGUGCAAGGAUCAUGUUUUGCUUGAAGAGAAGUAGAAGGUCAAGGCACAUCUCUACUUUUUGAGCUAUCAUUUACAGAUCCUUAGGAACGUUUCCUCCAUGGCUGGUGAUCUAACACAAGAAAGAAGAUCAUCUAAGCCUAAAUUGUUCUAAUCAAAGCUAUUUCGAUUCAUUGAUCCCUCGAUUAUUGUUCUUUAUUUUUUUCAUUUUUCAAUCAAUUUUAUCUUGAGUUGAUGGCUUCCAAUUAUGUUGCCCCUUUUCGUAAUUUUCUGAACUACUUUGUUGGUUUAAUGGAUUUCAUGUAAAAACACUUGCACUAUUUAUUUCAAUUUUGGGUUUAACUUUUGUGAUCAAAUUAUGCCCCCAAUGGAUGUAAAAUUUAAUGAAAAAAUAAAUAAAUAAGGUUCAAGAUUCAAUUUCAUGUAUUGAAAGAAGUACAAAUAAAAAUAUAUAUAUUGAAAGAUGUAACUAAUUUAGAUUAUUUAAGGUGAAUAUUCUGGUUCGGCCAAAGAAAAAAAAGGCCUUAUUCUGUAAAUGUUUUAUAGUAGUUGUCUCUAAAUUUUCUAUUGUUCUUUGUAAGGGACUACAAUUAUUUGAUAGUUCUAUGAAUCUAGAUUUGUCAUAUAAAUUAAGGCAGAAUUCCCCCUACCCCUUAAAUUAAAUCCCUCAGCCAAAAGAAAAAAAAUCCAAAAGUUAAACUCUACAAAAUCUAUUUGUCAUUGGAAAAAAAGGAAAGCCCAAGAAAUGAUUUCUUGGGCUGGAAAUGGCUUUAUUUACGUGGAUGAAUAAAACACAACCCUUUCAACGUUCAUAUUCAAACGUUGUACAAUUAAUGGAAUACGUAUUUUGUUUAAAUAAAAAAAAGAAGAUUAAAAGAAAGGAAGGCAGAUACACCAAUUUGGAUUUGAAUGAUUUAUAAUUAUGAUGAUUUUCAUAUUCAUAUUCACUUUUGUUAAUAAAAAAGUUUUUGAAAAAGAAUUUUUAUAGACAGUUGAAAUUUGGUGUUAAUAAGCAUAGGAAAAAUAAAAAAAAUAAGUAAUUAAAUAGACUUGAUUUUUUAUCAUCUCGGUCCAUCUCAUUAUCUUUGUUCUUUAUUGAUUUUUUUAUUAAAUAAACUCGACUUUGAUCAUUAUUUUUAAUCACAUCAUAAAGUUAUAAAAUUUUUGAAAAUAAGAUUUGUAAAUUUUGAAUUUUAAACUUUCAAAAUAUAUUUUUUGAAUUUUGAAUUAUAUAUAAUAUUUUAAAAAUAAUGAUAAAAAUUGAGUUCAUUAAUUUGACGAAAAAAAUCAAACAGAUAUAAAUAAAACGAGAUGGGGAUAGCAUGUAUUUGUAAUAAAAUUAGGCUCCCGUUGAUGAGUACUUUUACUUCCUUUUCCUUUUUCUAUUGCAAAAAAUGAAUAAAAAGGAAAAGGCAAAAUAAAUAUAUAAAAAAAGAUAAAAGUAUUAAACUGGCACGGAAUCUAAGUGCAUGUAGAAAUAAUCGAAUCCCUUCUUAUAAUUCUUAUUAUAAGCAUUACCUGGUAAAAUUUUCUUCCAUCAAUGAGAAAUUACUUCAUUUUAAAUGCUUUAUGUGAACUUGCUGCCAAGCUAUGCUACCAUGGCCAGAUCUUAUAGGUUGAAGUAACAAUCAAACUCUCAAUAUGUCAAUAAAUCACUUGGAACCUUCAUAAUAAAAGUGUACUUGGCUUGUAUAGGAAAAUUAAAGUUUUAUUUCCCAGGUCUUGAUUUAAAAAUCAAAAAUAAAAACAAGAAAUAGAAGAAUUUCAGGCUUGUUCUUUUACUUAUUGUACAUACAAACAGCAACAUAACAUUGAUUGAGUAAAUUAUUGAAAGCAAGUGAUCCCUUCCCUUGACAAGUCCAUGAAGCCAACAUCUUGACCAACGAUAAGCACAAUAAUUUCAACUACCCGUUUUUCUUUUUUUUUAUAUAUAUAUAUAAAUAAUAAAGGUUAGCACAAAUGAACCACCAAAACUUGAUUAGGACUAGGCAAACAAGUGAAAGAAAUGAAAAUGGAAAGUAGCCUUUGUUUUACCUGUGUUUAGUUGACGGCCCCAAAAUACUCCUUGAUAUUUAAACAUGCCUUUGGAACUUCUCCUACAAUCAUCUCAUAGUUCUUCCUUGUAAGGUGGUAGAUGAUCACCCGGACGCUGCCGGCGCCAAUCUAUGGUCUUGGUGUGGACUACAUUCUGAUCAGUGACAGAUUCUUCGGUGGUAUCUUGCUCAACCAGUUGCGGUGUCUUUUUAAUAAUUGAAACAGUAAAAUGUCAAACAAAAGUAUUAAUGUUACAUGUUAUAAGGGUAAAAGAAAAACUAGACAUUAUAAUUUAUAAGCAUUUUAAGUCAAAAAUUUAUUAAAGGUGACGGAAAGUGAUAUUCUAGACCAACAAUCAUUUAAGUAAUUUUUUUUAAAGUAUUUUAAGUAAUUUAAGUAAAGACUUUGAAGAUUAUGUCUUAUAAUAUUAUUAAAGACUUGAAUUGCCUUUGCACACACCAAAUAAAAGCUUCUAUUUAAUGCAGUAAUCAAUAGUAAAAGCUCUUAAUCAUCAUUAACAAUUAUGUUGGGAGGAUUUGGAGAAUGAAGAAGGUAUUUACAGUUUUUGUGAAUAAUAUUCUUGCAAGAGUCCAUUAUUGAAGAUGGCUUCAAAGGAUUUCUUAUCAAUUUGGAAAGGUUGUCAAUACAUUUAUAGGGAGAAAUAAAAGCAAAUAUGGUAAGAGGCAUCCAUUUAUCAUAUUUGGAUCUUUUAAUAAAGCUAGAAGAGCAGGCCAAAAUUUAAAUGGAGCCUGACUUCUUAACCAAAGGCUAGAGGAACCAAAAAGGAAGCUUCUUAUGGACCUAGUACUAACGACAAUGGGAAAGAAACCUGCAGUGGGAUUUUGAGACAAAACUCGACCUUAUUCACUAAGCCAUCUUAUGCUCUGGUAUUGAAGGGUGCUUUUGAAAGUGGUGGAGCUUCAAAUGAAGAGAGAGGAGAUGAUCUUCAAUGUCCUAAAAAGCAUGGAAAACAUGCUUUGUUUGAAGAGAAGUGUUGUGGUAACAACAUAAUGUAAUUCAGAUUCAGCAAAUUUAAUGGCAUUAUUUAAAAUGCAAGGCAUUUCAGGGCUGCUUGAGGAGUUUGUCUAACAAAGAAUUUCUGCUAAACUUUAAGGAUAAGGAGCUGUUUGAAGAGUUCAAAGAUAAAGGUUGGGAUUGGCUUAACAAAUGGUUUACUAAGGUGGAAACAUGGUUAGAGAAUUUUUCAUCAAAACUCCUUAGCAAGUGGUUUAUUGUACAGGGCAUCCUUUAGAUGUGUGAAAUAGGCAUAUUGUAAUUUAUAAGCAUUUUAGGCCAAAUUCAUUAAAAGUGAUAUUCUAGACUAAGUUUUGGUUGUAGUGUCACACACAAUCAUUUAAGUAAGUUAAGUAAAGACUUUGAGGAUUAUGCCUUAAAAUAAAAAAGAUUAAAGUUUUUAGGGUGUAUACCUCUAUUUUGGCGUGCACAUAUUCCUCUGAAUCUAUGAAGAAGCCUGUAGUCAUCUUGGGACAUUCUCUUACUUUCAAAGAAAUCAAAGCCGAUAAUACAAAGUGAUAUCCUCUCGGGCAGAAGUCAAUGAGGCUUGGCAGUUCUUUAAGUGAUAAAUAUUUUAAUUGAUCAAACUUUAUUUCUUUUUCAGUUAUCACUUCUACUUCAUCUUCAAGUUCAAACAGUUGCUCCAAUUUAGAGUUCCCUUUAACUGUUAACUUUUCAAGUUUUGGAAGACAACAAGCAGAUCCAAGGGGAAAGAGACAUCUUAGCCUCUUGCAAUCAAUCACCUUUAGAAUUGUAAGGUUUUUGAGAGUAACAACUUGAGUGACAUCCUUCCAUAUAAUACACACUUCAGAUAAAUCCAACAGGUAGAGUUCCCUUAUAUGCCCAUGAACAUGGAAUACCUCUUCAUGACUCCCAACUGCUAUGUAGUCUUGACUGCAAUUGGCAGAAACACGCAAUUGACAACUAUUUCCCAACUUAGACAGAAGUAAUUCCUGCAAAUAUAGACACCACUAAAUGUCACAAGUACAUUCAUUUUCUAUUAGAAUGGGAAUAGUUGAGCAAAUGCUACUAAUAAUUUUUCAUAAUUUUAUAUGCCACUUCACAAAAAAUCCUUACAAUUUUAACGGCAGCACAUAUAUAUGUUUCAAAAUUUAAAUCCAAAAGUUUCAUGAAAUUGUUUGAAAGUAGAAUCCAAAGACACCUAACCCUUUCAAGUUUUUCUCUGUUAAUUUUGAACUUAAAACCAUUUAUGGUUUUCCUUUUCGUUUGUAUUUUUCUUUGUCAUUUUGUCUUGAACAAUGUUGAUUUGAAAAGUAAACACAAAGUGAUAAAGUGUCAAUUUGUUUUUGUAAUUUUCCUUAAUUAUAUAUAACAACACAAAAGAAAUCCACCCCCCCCGCCCCCCCAAACGGAAAGCCUAAAUCUCUCAAUCUCUUUCUCUUGUCUGAAACUUGAAUUGAAGAAAGUAGAAACACCUUCAAUAAAAAAAAAAGGAACUCAUGGCCAAGAAGAAAAAGAAAACUUAAAUUGCAGAAGAAAGAGAAAAUGGAAUCGAAGAAGGAAAAGGAAGCUCGAACAAGAAAAAAGGAAUUGCUAGGAUGUCAUCGUGAAAAAAAUAUAUGAUGAAUUUGAAGUCAGAAACAAGGACAAGGAAAACCCAAAGAUCCCCAGGUUACCCACAAAUAAUAUUUAUUUUUCAAAAUAGAUAGUAUAAAAUUUUUGAAUUGUAACUUUAAAAUGUAGUUGGAUUAGUUUAUGAGUGUUGAAAAGAUUUGGUUCAAAGGUAAAAUCUAAAACUAUAAUUGAAGGAAAAGUGUAUAAAAGAUACCUUUAGUAGAACCUGCUCGUUAACUUCUUUUUGAAUUGUGAAAUUUGUCAAUUUAGGACAGUUCCAAACACCCAACUUCUCCAAGGAUGGUGAUGAGAUGAGAAAGUUUUCCGAGCAAAAGCAACUCAAAUUUAUCAAGUUUACAAGUAGUAAAUCUUGUAGGGAAGGGAGUGCAAUGGCACAAUCAACUCCAUUCUUUUCUUUUGCCACAUGGAAGACUUGUUGUAACUGAGGAGAAUUGCUUAUCCAAAAUGAUUUCAAUCGUGGAAGAACUUGAGCCAAAGGAAUUUGAAAAAUAUUUUCCAAUAUUGGACAAUGACUUAUUCGUAGAGUUUCCAAUUUUGGCAAAAACGACGAAUGGAGAUGGGUAUUUGUUUCUAUUUCAUCAUCACAGUCCAACUCGGUGAUAAUGUGUUGCAAUCCAUCACAAUGAUCUAUCUGGAGUUGUUCAAGGAGCACCAAGCUUUGAGCAAGGGAUGGUGAAAAGAGAUGUUUCAAUCUAUUGCAGUAACUAAUUUCGACAAACUUCAAGCUUUGGAGGCUGACAAAACAGGUGGACCCUUUCCAUAUCCACUUCAAUUCUGGUAAUAAUUUUAGCUCCAUCAGUGUUAAAUUUGACAACAGCGAUCCUUGAUUUUCUUUCGUAUCAUGAAGAAACUCAUCUAUUUGAAAUACUUCUUGCAACUGGCCACAGUUAAUAACUUUCACUUCCUCUAGAUUUUGUAGCGCGGGAGAUAAAAAAGCCAUUUCCAUGCAAUUCCUUGCUUCCAACGUCUUUAGUUUUUGUAGAAACCCUUUUGGAAACCCACCGUUGCACAACAUUUUCAAACCAGUCAUUUGUUCUAUGAAUAAUUCCACCAAAUUAGAGAAGGCAUUGGAUGAGACAUGGCCUUGUGUUGUAUCAAUCAAGCAUUCCAGCUCCUCACCAUCUUUAAGUGUAAGAAAAGUUAAUUCAUUAAGCCCCUUUGGAUCUACAUUUGGAAUAAGAUUUUUCUGAUUCUUGACUCCAUCCAAGGUAAGAUUUUUGACAUUGUGUAAUAACUCCUUCAAUGCAUGCAAUUGAUCACUCUGAUAAAUUCACAACAAAAUGAAUAUUAGACAAAUAGAAAAUAGCAUAAAAUUUAAAAAUUGACACAAAAGAAAACUGUUUUAUCUUUUCAUUGAAAGCUCAUUAAAGUUGAAAAACACACCAAAGCUUGGAGUAUAAGUAAUAGUGUACAUGCUGAAAUUUAUUGGAUACAUGGAAAUAUGAUUUAGCAAUAAAGUACACGUGGCGUGCAUGCAAGGAAGGAAAAAAAAUAAAAAUUUUUAUUGCCACAUGCUUGUUUGCUUUUUGUUCAUUAAAUGCAUUAAAUUUUUUAUUUUAUCAUGCCACGUAUCUGCUAUUGCCACGUCAUAGUUUAACAUGUCCUAUAAAUGCUAGCGUGGCUAGGAGUUAAAAAUCCAUGGAUUCUAUCCUAAUAAGGAUGCUUGGACAAUGACAAAGAACACUUUAAGAGCUUAAUGAGAUGCAAUUAUAUGCUAAAUUAUCAUGCAGCACUCUCAAUCUUAUAAUAUGAAUGAAUUCUUUUUUUUUUUUAAUGACAAGUACGCUAAGUAAUUAAUGAAGGAAUUGGAGACAAAGUUGCUGAUGAUGAGAGUUUGAAUUUUUCUAAGGAUACAAGUGUGACUUAUCCUAAUUUUUAUAAAAUAAUGCUUUGUAAAAACCUUUCUUGAAUAAGAGUUUUCAUCUUUUUCCUAUUUUGUUAUUCAAAUCCUUUUCCCAUUUCAAGAAAGAUUCAGAAUCAACUAGCUAAUUAUUGUACGAAUGUGCUGUUCUUUCUUUUUAAUUCAUGAGUAUUGACUUUUAAUAUCCGUCAAAAUAAAGAGUAUAAUUUUUGAACAACAAGGAAAAGUGUAUAAAAGAAAUACCUCUACUUGAAUUUUCUCGUUAACUUCUUUUUGAAUGUUGAAAUUUGCCAAUUUAGGACAGUUCCAAACUUCCAACUUCUCCAAAGAUGGUGAUGAGAUGAGAAAGUUUUCUGAGGAAAAGCAACUCAAAUUUAUCAAGUUUACAAGUAGUAAAUCUUGUAGGCAAGGGAGUGCGAUGGCACAAUCAACUCCAUUCUUUUCUUUUGCCCCAUGGAAGACUUGUUGUAACUGAGGAGAAUCGGUUAUCCAAAAUGAUUUCAAUCGCGGAAGAACUUGAGCCAAAGGAAUUUGAAAAAUAUUUUCUAAUAUUGGACAAUGACUUAUUCUUAGAGUUUCCAAUUUUGGCAAGAACGAAAAAUGGAGAUGGGCAUUUGUUUCUAUUCCAUCAUCAUAGACCAACUCGGUGAUAAUGUGUUGCAGUCCAUCACAGUGAUCUAUCUUGAGUUGUUGUAGCAGUACCAAGCUUUGAGCAAGGGAUGGUGAGAAGAGAUGUUUCAAUCUAUUGCAGCAACUAAUUUCUACAAACUUCAAGCUUUGGAGGCUGACAAAACGGGUGGACCCUUUCCAUACCCAAUUCAAUUCUGGUAAUGAGUUUAGCUCCAUAAGUGUUAAAUUUGACAACAGCAGUCCUUGAUUUUCUUUCGUAUCAUGAAGAAACUCAUCUAUUUGAAAUACUUCUUGCAACUGGCUACAAUUAAUAACUUUCACUUCUUUUAGAUUUUGCAGCGCAGGAGAUAAAGAGACCAUUUCCAUGCAAUUCCUUGUUGUCAACUUCUCUAGUUUUUGUAGAAAGCCCUUUGGAAACUGACCGUUGCACAACAUUUUCAAACCAUUCAUUUCUUCUAUUACUAAUUCCACCAAAUUGAAGAAUGUAUUGGUUGAGACAUGGCCUUGUGUUGUAUCAAUCAAGCAUUCGAGCUCCUCGCCACCUUUAAGUGCAAGAAAAUUUAAUUCAUUAAGUCCCUUUUGAUCUACAUUUGGAACGAGAUUUUUUUGAUACAUGACUCCAUUCAAGGUAAGAUAUUUGACAUUCUGUAAUAACUCCUUCACUGCUUGCAAUGGAACGUCCUGAUAAAUUCACAACAAAAUGAAAGAUAUUAGAAAAAUAGAAAGGUAGAUAAUACUCCUUAAAUCAGAAUUGAUUUUUUUUUUCUAUGCAUAAAAUUUAAAAAUUGAGACAAAAGAAAACUGUUUUAUCUUUUCAUUUAAAGCUCAUUAAAGUUGAAAAACAUACCAAAGCUUGGAGUAUAAAUAGUGUAUAGUAUUCUUUUAUGUACAUAUUAAUGUACUAAAAGAAAGAUGUUUUUCUAUGAUCAGAUAAAUAAUCAAUUAAUAAUUAUCAAAAGUAAAAUUGAAACAAACGAAAAUAUAACAGAACUACCAUCAAUAGAGACCGCGACCAAAGUCCUUCGUGAAUAUGGAAACGAGUCAUUGAUCCGCGUGGGAGACCAAUACUGCAAGCUUGGAAUCCCUUCAAAGAUGGCAACAUGACAAAAUAGUUUCUGGGACAAAAGUUCCUGAAGUUUAGUAAGUAUUCAAGUCUUAAAGACUGUAAGCGAGGGAGCAGAAUAUCGUGCCCAUACUCUUCUUUUGCCAUGUUGAAGACAUGCAUUAGUUGAGGGCAAUCAAUUAUCUGAACUGAUUCCAAGUGCGGAAGUCCUUGAGCCAAAGUGAUGGGAAACACAUAUCUCAAGCUUUCGCAACUAGCUAUCACAAGAGAUUUUAAUUUUGGCCAGCACAGAAGAGAGCGAUCCUUGUUUGAAAUUAUCUCAUCACCAUUUUCUGCUUCGGUGAUUAAAUGUUCCAAAGAGUUGCUUCCCUUUAUCCAGAGUUCUUCCAGAUGCACCAAAGUUUGAGCAAGUGUAGCUAAAAAGAGAUACUCCAGUUUAGAACACGAGCAAAUUCUCAUAGUUUUAAGAUUCUGGAGGUUAACAAGAUGGGUGGGUUCUCUCCAUAUGCACCUCAAUUCUGGUAAGGACUCCAGCUCCAAACAAAUUAAAUUUGAGAGUGGGGGUGCCUGAUUUUCCUCACAUAAAACAUAUAUUAUCAAUAAAUAAUUAUUUAAAUAUGAAUUCGUUGUACUUGUUCAAAAAAGUACUUAAAUAUUAAAGGCAUACAUUUUAAAAAAUUUUAAAACGAAGUGUAAAAAGCCACAAUUUAGAAAGAUUACAACUGAUGUUUACUUAUAUAUUUGGUAAUUUAACAUAAAAAAACACAAUUAGAUAAAGAACAAAUAAUAGAAUUAUUAAAGGAAAAAUGGAGAGAUGAGGGGUACCUCCAACUCAGCCAUAUCUUGGGCAAAAGCAAAGACUUGCUCUAAUUUCUUGCAUGCAGAUAUCUUGAGUUGUUCAAGAUGCAACAAACUUUGAGCAAGGCAAGGUGAGAAGAUUGAUUUUAGUUUAUCACAACCAUCAACUUUUACAUCCUUCAGAUUUUGUAGGCUUACAAGAUGAGUUGGCUCUUUCCAUAUACUCUCUAAUGCUGGUAAUGACUGCAGCUCCAAGCUUCUUAAAUUUGAGAUCGACCACAUACAACCAUUCAUUUGAAACACUGAUUGCAACUGUCCACAAUCGCAAAUGAUCAAUGUUUCUAAGUGUUGUAAGAAGCUAUUCGGUAAUUGACCAUGGCAUAACUCUUUCAAAGAAGUCAUUUUACCAAUGUCUAAGUUCACCAAAUUAGAGAAUGCAGUGGCUGGACUCUGUUCUCGUGUUGUAUCGAUCAAGCAUUCCAAAUCAUCGCAAGAUGUAAGCUGAAGAGAAGUUAAUUCAUUUAGUCCCCACUGAUCUACAUUUGGAACAACAGUUUUGUGUUCCAUGAUAUUCUCCAGACUCAGCCUUUCCACAUUGCGAAACAGCUCCUUAAAUGCAUUUAAUGAGGAGGAAUCUCUAAUUCUCAAUAUUCUCGAGAUAAGCUUUCUCGGAAUUUCAAUGUAUCCAUUUACACCUAUAUUGUAGCUUUGUAGUUUAGGAAACACAAAGUUUUCUUGAAAACAUUGAUCAGUAGAAACUGUCAAUGUUAAUGCAGUCAAACGAGACAACGAAUUCAACUCCGAUAAGUUGGCAAUGGUAAAACUUAACAUGUGUAGCUCUUGGAGUGACGUUAACCUGUUACACACAAAUACACAAUAUUAUUAACACAAUAACAGCACUUUCAAGCAGACAAUGAAAUAGCUACUAUUAAACUACAGCUUGCAAUGUUUCAUAAUAAUCGGAGUGACUAAAAGCUCAUGAUAUAUAUACAUAUAUAUAUAUAUAUAUAUGUAUAUAGUAGUCAAAUUGAAAACAACAAAAGGAAAAAUAAAAUAACAUAAAAUUAAAUUUUUUUUUUACUCAGCCAAGAAAAAAAAGAGAUUUAUAUAUAGACAGCUUAAAUGUACAAAAUAAGAAGAAACAAGAACAACCGCUCAAAGCAAAAAACUUAAAAAGAAGCAACUUGAUAGCUUGGCUGGAGGCAAAAUCAACACUUCAUAUGAGAUGACAUGUUACGGGAUUGGUGUCAGUACACAAGAGACCAACAUAUCAAACAGUCUCAUAAAAAUCGACCAAGGCAAAGAUGAAUAUAUUGGCACAAUCAGAUUGCCAGCGGGAAACAAUAAAAUUAAAUACUUAAGUAAAAACAAUUAGAUAAUCAGUUUUAAUGACAUCUAAGUAUUACCUUGAUAUCAAGUUAGGGGGGACAUGUCUGUCUUCAUCUCCAACCCAAAAAAUAUAUAGUGACUUUAGUCUGCGCAACUCCACUAAUUCUUCAGGUAAUUCAUCAAUAUAAGUUCUAAUCAAAGACAAAGACUCAAGAUUUUCUAGAUUUCUCAACGAUGAAAUGUUCUCAACGUCACACCUCAUAAUGCACAGAGUUCGCAGAUUUGUUAGGAAUUGAAGUGCUUCCAUUGAGAAUACAACACGUUGAAGAAAUAAAACUCGGAGGGUUUUCAUUCCUUCAAAAAAUUUACUCGGAACUCUUAGGUAAUCUUCUCCCGUUAAAAACAAAGUCUUGAGUUUUGAAAAUUCUAAUUUAUCGGGAAAAUUAACUAUCUUAAUAUUCCAUAAGGAGAUUGUUGUGUAACAACCAAAAAUUUCACUCUUAGGCCAUUCCGUCAGCUCAUUUUUUACCAUGAACAUAUUUUCCCCUCUUGAUGUUAUCCAAUGAGCAAAAUCACGAACCACAUCAUGCAUUUUUACAUAGAAUUCAUCGUCAGUUUCCAAUAACAAACCAAACUUUUGGAGCUUUGAUAGUGCUAGAUGAAUUUCCCUCCUUAUUUCUUCAAUUAAGUUAAUAUGACAAAACAGUCCCUGACCAAUUCCGAAUUCAGUCAACAACUCAACAUUAAUAUCAUAAUCUUCUGGAAAAAGAGAACACAACAAGAAACAUGACUGAAUAUUUUCUUCCUUCAAAUAAUCAUAACUAAGCUUAAGGCAGCUAUAGAUACCUCCACAAACAUCUUGAUUAUCCAAAUGUCUUGACUCCUUAAGUCGUUGAUUUGCUGCUAUCCACCCAUUUAGACUUUCACGUUUUAGAGCUUUCGCCAUAGUUACAAUUGCAAGAGGCAAACCCUUAGCUUCACGAGCAACCUCCUUGGCUACAUCAUUCAAGGUGGGAGAGGCAUCUUUUAGACCAGCAUUAUCUUUGAAUAAAGCCCAUGCCUCAUCUUCAGACAGAAUGUUCAGUUUAAAUUCUUCUUGACAAUUCAUUUGACUACAGACUUGUCGAAGACGUGUAGUUAGAAGAAUUUUGCAACCAGGGUGUUUGUCACCAGAUGGAAUUCCUAUAUUUCGCAAUUCAAACUGUUCCCAAACAUCAUCGAGAAUAAUGAGAAUCUUCUUCUCGCCUUUUAAUCUCUUGAAUAACUCUUCUGCUUUUCCUUCUUCUGUACUUGCAUUAAAUUUUAAACCCAAGAUUUCAGAAAUUCUAUGUUGAAUUUUGUUGAUGUCUGGAUUUUGAGACACCCCCCUAACAAUCACAACUUUAUCAAAGAGCUUUUCUUCCGUAGCUUGCUUCCCCACUACUUCCGCCAAAGUUGUUUUACCCACUCCUGGCAUUCCGUGCAAUCCAAUCACGUUCACACCAUCACCUUUUAAAGCCUUCAUGAUCCCAUUGAAAGCUAACGUUGAAGAUUCGGAACGCAUGAAAUCCUUGGGUAGUAGGAACUCUAUUCCUUGAAGAGGAGGGCGCUGGCCGACUAGUGGAAAGUUACAGGUCUCUAAAAGUUUAGAGAUACAAAGAUUCUUCUUCGCGACUUUCUUACUUAAGCAAUAUCGCCAACCCCAACUAGGACACCAAUUGAAACACUUGUUACGCUCUAUUUCUUCUUCCAAACUCUGAGCUUCUCCCAAUUCUUUAUCUGCCUUUGUUAGCCACUCCUCAACGCCCUUCUUAAUUACCUCAGUUUGCCUUAAAGCCUCAUCGACAGCAUCUUUCAACUCAUCUCUUUUUGAUUCAAGUUCAUUUCGCCGGUUCUUGAAAUCUUCAACAAUUUCGCCAAAACGGAAAAAGUAACGGAGAUAAGGUGAUGCGUAUUCUGUUGCUAAGUUCCCCGCGGUACCGCUAAUAGCAGCGCAAACACAUUCAAGAAACAUUCUUUGAUGAUCUGAGGCUGAAAAACAAUUUGGAUGAGUAAAAUGUUUUACAGAGAGACAAAAAGUAAUUACGAAAUGUUCACAAAAUAUCUCGCCUUUGCAGCAAUACUUUUAUAAAAUAUGUGAAUCACAAGAGAACAAAUUGUCCGCCGACUAACUUGGAAAUUGAAAAUGCUGCACAAGUAGAAAUUAUUCACUGGUCAUGUGUAUAGUAAUUAGAAAUAUAUCUUACAUGUUAGAGUAAAAUCAUAGUAUUAUGAUUCUAUAAAAUACUUUCUCAAAAUUUAAAAUAUCUAUUUAUUUCAGUUUUUUCCUAAUAGCUACAGCUUUUGUGUAACCAUGCAUGCUCGUCAUGGGCAAGGAAAGAAGUAAAGUGCAAAAUUAUUAUUUUUAUUUUCCAAGUGAAGAACUCAAGAAGUCAAAUGCAUAAGUGACAAGAGAAAUAAAAAGCAUAGCAAAAAUUAUAUAUGGACAAUAUAAUAUGUAUUGUUGAAGCUUACCUCACUUCGAAAGGAUCUUCUAACGCUGCAUGGAUUUUUUCUUCACCAACUCCGGAGAUCGGGAAAGUAAAAUUAAGGACUUCUUUUCUGGAUAGAAAGCAGAGAAAUCCAAAUACUAGAGGUAGCAGCUUUGGGUUUUUUUUUUUUUUUUGGCCUUUGUGGAGCUGAGGAAAGGAAACGUAGGGAUCAAAGAACAGUUUUUGUUUUUUAUUUUUCUGAGUUAAAAGAAAAUGAGGAAAGUAGAAACCAAUGGAAAAAACGAACAGAGAUUUUUUUUUUUUUUGAGUUGAAAGAAAAUGAGGAAAGCAGAAACCAAUGACAAUAAACCAACAGAGAUGCUUUUCUGUUUUUGAGUUGAAAAAUUGAGUGGAAAAAUCAAGGAAAAUGAAAUGGAAAAUUAAGGCAGAAAUCAAACAAAAUCUUUGGGAUAGUGCAGCUCACAGAUGUGGAGAUGGUAGAAGAAGAAGCUUGAAUGGAAACUCUAUGAAGACGAAGUAGUGAGAGUAGGUAUAGGAACUUUGGAACACUAAUAUUCAAAUUAGGAACAACGGAAAAAAAUUAGCAACUUGGCUUACACUUCCCAUGUAAGAUUCUCUUUUCUUUGAUAUGCGAGAGCUAAUGCUAUACAUUGAGAAAGUUAAUUUGUUUUAUUUAUCGUUUUUCAGUUGGCUUUUCCAUAGUUUGUCCCCCUUUUGUUUUUUCUUCCCUGGUUGUGGGUGGUGCUCGAGACACAAAUGUUUAUUGCUCCCUCUAGCUAAAAGCUCUUUGGCCAGCAUGUGCAAUCAACAUUAUUAUAUAAUGUUUAUAGAUUUGAGGAUUUUUGUUUACCACUAGAGACAGUUGCAUGUGAACGAAUUAGAUAUUCUAUUCAAAUUUUAAUUGGGAAUCAGUAAAAUUUCAUUAAUAAAAAAAUUAUUUGGUGAUUAAGUUUAUUUAAAGGAUAAAUAUAGUUAAUGAUUAAGAGUUUUUAAUGGAUAGGAAUUCAUGGUGACAAAGUAAUAUGGUUUUAUAAAUAUGGAAUGUGUCUUAACUUUUAAAAUUAAGAUAGAGAUGAGAUCUUUAUAUGAUCUUAUGUAAAAGAUAAUUUUUUUUAAAUGGAGUUUUUUGUAAAAACUUCACAGAAUUAUAGAGAUGUGAGAAGGAGCACGAGAAAUACAAGAAAGAGUAGGGGAAACGCAGUUUGCAUGGGAUCGAAAGUAUUUUAUGAGUUGAAACAAUAGGGAGCACAGAAACUGGAUUUGUUUCGAAGCUUAAGUUUAGUAUUUGUUUUUAUUUGUACUUUUUGUAAUCUCUAUGCCUAUAAUGAAUUUUUCUGAAUGCAUAUUAAAUAUUAUCUCUUAUAUGUGCUUUAUAAAUUAAAUUUUCAUUUGUAAUUUAUUUACUUAACUUACAAAAUAUAUAGUAUAAAAAGGAGGGUUUUUCUUUCUAGUUUUUUAGUGAUAUAUUACCUUGGACUCCGCACCUGGUCUUUAAGCUCAUGUGGUUAAAGCUCAGCAGAGUAAUAAGAUUUGGUCAUUAUCUUGGGCUUUACGUUGACCCAACCAGAGCAAUCUACUCUCAUUUUAAGGAAAGGAAGUACUUAUUGUAAACCUUGAACUAGUGGGAGUAAUUGUUUAUAUACCUUUCUCUCUUCCAAAACGUUGGUCCUAUCCUUUUAUUUCGAAUUUUUUCAUUUUUUAGUUAAUUUUCUUUUAAAAAAUUAUAUUCUGUGGAGGGAGGACAUGAGCCCGUAGUGAAAAUGUAUUUGUAUUAUCAAAAUCAAAUAAAAACUAAAAGAAAUAUCAUCAAAAACAGGGGUCAAAGCCUUGUACCCUUUCUAUACUUUUAUCACUUCGCUUUUUCCGUUAUAUUUGGUCUUUGAGGUGAUGGCCUUGGAGUAGUAAUGUAUUCUUCCAACAAUUACUAGUCAUUUUACAAUAAUAGGAAAUUUUUUAGUAAAAUAUUUAUAUAAUAUAUUGCCCUGUUUAAAUUGUGUAGGCCUCAAUAAGUUAAAUUUUGAGCUGAUUAAAUUAUCGAAAAUUAUCCAAUAAACUGUCAUGGAGUUUGAAAACUUUAUCAAUGGAAUUAGGAGGUUGCAACAUAUUCAUUCGGAUAUAUUUGAAAAAAUAAAUAAAUUAAUCUGAUAAAUAAAAGGAUAUUAAUUUGACAAUAUUUUAAUUUUACUAACAAAGUUAAAAUCUCACCGAGGAUGCAUAGAUUAAUAGUCCUUAAAAUAAUCCCUUUGUUUUUACAAUUGAGGGACAUUGAUCGUUACAUGCAUUAGUAGUGGAGAUUUGUUGCCUUUUCCUUAAAAGAUCAUUACAUUUUUUGCUUAAUUGCAUGCUUGUGUUCGGCUUAUAUAUAUAGGCUUUCAUUAGUGCUUGUUGAAUUAUGGCAGUGAAGUGUUUAGUAGAGUUGAUAUGAAUGAAGUGACUAUCCAGAGAUAUUGCAUCGUAUCGUUUUCUGCUUAUUGGGUUCCAUUGCUUGGAGCAUUUCUGCAGUUUCUGCGUACUUAUUUGCUACAACUUGAAAGAAAUGAGCAUGGCAAGAUUGUAUACAAAUUUGCCUAUGACUUCAAAUUUAGUUCGGCUUGAUCAACAAAAGAGGAAAAUUUCAGUUGAGAUUUUAGCAUUUUGGUUACUGAAUGAGUGACUCUAGGAAGAUGGAUAACGUUCAUGCAUGCUUGCGAAGCUCGUUUGGUAAUAUAUAGCACAAAAAGCAUAGUGAACCCAACUUCGAAACACAUGGAUGCCAUCUAUUUUUCUAACAACAGCCGUGGCAAGCGUGAGCAUACCAAUUCUAAGUUCUAACAUUGGGUUUAGACCACUUUAUCAAAUUUCAAAGCCUUUCUUUAGUGCUUUUUUCCCCUGGAUUUCUUGGUAGAAUUAACUGGUGCCGUAAAAGAGGGCCAUGUUGGGGAUGGCAGGGGACGGAUUAGUGUAAUUUUUUUAUAUUUAUAAUUGAAACAAAUUAGAGGAAUGCAGAUUAGGGGACAGUAGAUUAUGGAAACGGUGGAAGACAUUUCAGCAGGUGGAUUCUUUAAAGGAGGUGAUAGGCAGUGUAUUAUUCUGUGAGUGCUGAUUUUUUGGCAAAGGAAGGUGCAAGGAGAGAAAGUUUUUAUUGGAUAUUGUCAUUACCUUGAGAUUUACAUUGAGCCAGUGGGAUUAAUUAUUAUUAUUAUUUUUUUGUUUUUAAGAAAAAGAACCACUUUUUGUAAACCGUGAACUAAUGGAGGCAAUUGGUUUUAUAUACAUAUUGCUCUUGCAAAACAUUGUAAUUUAGAAAUUUAGAAGUAGAGGUAUACGUUGAUCCCUUCAUUAAUUCGACAACUUCCAUAUAAAACAAAAGCUCAGCAGAUGAAGACGAAGCUAGCAGCUAGCUUGGAGGGAAGUGUGUAAGGCACUAAGCAGCUAGCAGUACAAUUCCUGGCCUCAGUCAUGGUUCACUUUUUGCCUAUGGAGACGCAAUCUCUUUUUAUAAUCAAUUUGUUUUCAUUUGACACUCUGUUUAAGAUGUAGUAGCUCAAUCUCAGCCAUAUACACGAAUAAAAUAAAACGACGGUAUUUACUUGGUUAAUUGGUUGUUAGCCAACUUGAUGGAAAUCUAGUAAUUAAAAGCCAAAGGAAAAUAUCAUCAAAAUCAGGGGCCAAAGCCUUUCGCCUUUUUUAUAGUUGAUGCUCCUUCCAGCUUUUACCACAUUGCUUUUUCCUUUACACUUGGUCUUUGAGGUGAUAGCCUUGGAAUAGUAAUGAGAACCACCCAAAACCAAUUAAAGUAGAUGAUAGAUGAAAGAAAGAAAUGAGAAUACUUGUUAAUUUGCUACUAAGUAGCAGCAGCUAGUCAAAUUCAGAUUUAUGCAUUAACAUAGUUUCACCUUCUUGUUAAAAUUUAUUCUGAUUCUUCUGAUGUAGCUUUAUUUACCCAGCAGCGAGCCUUCAAAAUCAAACAAAGUGGGACAUGAAGAACAAAAAUUAGCUUGGGACAAUCUUCAACCGAAGAAGUCAAAUUUGGAAAUACAAGAUGGUAACAUUAUAUAAUAAUUGAGGGAGCACUAUUUGCUUCUCUUUCUGGGUACUUACUUCUUCAUCUGCAAUUCCAAAUAGUUGCUCUAGUUCAGAAGAUCCUUCGACUGUGAUUAUUUCUAGUUUUGGCAGAGCAACAUUAACCGGAAACAGACUUUUCAUUUUAUUUCAGUAACCAACACAAAAUCGAUUCUUUCAACAACCCCAACCCCCGCAUAAGCCAGAAUUUCAAUUUCAUUACUUUUGGAAAUGAGAAAAACAAGAAACUGAGUGCGUACUGGUAAUAUUCACAGUCAAACGUAUUGCAUAUUUCAUCUGAUGGUAAAGGUUGUUGCAUCAUAUUUGAUAAACAAAGAGGAGAUAUUCGGGAUUUUUUUUUCUUAAUUUUAAUUUGGGCAUUGAAAUUUUAUUAAAGAGUGUUAGGCCUUGAAAAAGGGGAAGAUGUUUUUGGCAUAGAAACUUCAAGGACUUUAUAUUUUUCUUCUUCCAAUUGCCAUUGGUUUGUAAGCAAAGAUGGGAGUAAGGAAUGCAGUUGCCAAAUCUAACAAGUUUGUUUCACAAUUGAGGGGCUAUGUGAUCUGAUGUCUCAGGGUGAAGAUUUGUUACUUUUUCUCCCAGCGUUUUACAAGCAUGGAAAACCAUGGGGAAAUUUGUUGAUGUCUGACUCAGACAUGCAAGUAGACAUUACAAAUCAACUAAACAUUGUAAAAGAGAAGCAAAGAUCAACCAGCUGCAAGUCAACUAAACACAGAGAAAAACCAUGUUGCUCACAGUCCUUUCCCAAGUCAGAGAGGUAUAACUCCUGCAAAGACAUAAAUAUAUCAUAAUUUCAUUAGAAAUUGAAUAGAUUACAAAGGGCCAAGACACUGUUGCCUAAAUAUUGGAAGAGAAAAAUGUCUUGAAUCCCAAAGAAAGAACAUAUAUCACUCUAUGCAUCUAAUUAAUCAUAACUCAAGCAAUUACUUUAAUAUACGAUUGAUUAUAAGUGUACGUUAAUAAACUCAGUUACAAAGAUCAAUUAACAUAUGACCUCAAAAGUACAAAGCUUUCAUAUUAUUUCAAAAAAAUUUAGAUAAGCUCAUAUCUUUUUAUUGUAUUUAAUUAAAUUUUUUAAAUAUUAAUUUUCAAUAUCCAAACCUUUUUUUUUUUGGAUAAAACCCAUAGAUGAUGGUUAAUCCUUUAACAUGCGAUAAUAACUCCGUCACUGCAUGCAAUUGAACUUCCUAAUAAAUUCACAACAAAAUGGAAGAUACUAGAAAAAUUGGAAAGGUAGAUAAUACACCUUAAAUCAGAAUUGAAAUAUUUUUAUAUGUGUAAAAAUUAGAGAUUUGGGCCAAAAGAAAAUUUUGUACCUUUUCUUUAAAGCUUAUUAAAGUAGAAAAAUAAACUAAAGUUUGGAGUAUAAAUAGUGUAUAGUAUAUAUACAGGUAAAUGUCAAUGUAAUAAAAGUUUUCGAUGGGAAAGAUGUUUUCUUAUGAAAUAAACAAUCAACUAAUAAGUAUCAAAAGAAACAUUGGAACAAAUGAAAAUAUAACAAAAUUACCUUCAACUGAGACUGCGACGUAAGUCUUUGUGGAUCUUGGGAAUGAGUCAUUAAUUGGGGUUGGGGACUAAUAUUGCAAGGGUCAAAAUCUUUCGAAGAUGGUAACAUGGCAGAAUAAUUUCUUGGACAAAAGCUCCUCAAGUUUUUCAAGUUUUCAAGUGUUUAAAUCUGUUAUUGAGGGAGCACAAUACGGUGCCCAUCCUUUUCUUUUCCCAUGUUGGAGACAUGCAUUAAUUGAGGGCAAUCAAUUAUCUGAACCGAUUCCAAGUACGGAAGUCCUUGAGCCAAAGUGAUUGGAAACACAUAUUUCAAGCUUUUGCAACUAGCUGUCUGAAGAGAUUUCAAUCUUGGCCAGCAUAGAGAAUAGCAAUCCAUAAUUGAAACUAUUUCAUCCCCAUUUUCUGUUUCUAUGAUUAAAUGCUCUAAAGAGUCGGUUUUCUCUAUAUGGAGUUCUUCCAGAUGCUUCAUAGAUUGAGUAAGGGCAGGCAAAAAGAGAUAUACAAGCUUAGAACAUGACCAAAUUCUCAUAGUCGUUAAGACUUCGGAGAUUAACAAAAUGGGCAGAUCCUCUCCAUAUGCAUCUCAAUUUUGGUAAUGACUCAAGCUCCAAACAAGUUAAAUUUGAUAGUACUUGUGCCUCAUUUUCCUCACAUAAAGAAUAACACAUAAAAGUUGAGAGAUAUAAAGCGUCUUCUUUGCAUCUUUGAUACUUAUGCAGUAUCGCCAGCCCCAACUAGGACACCAAUUGAAAUACUUGUUACGCUCUAUUUCUUCUUCCAAACUCUGAGCUUCUCCCAAUUCUAUCUCUGCCUUUGUUAGCCACUCCUUAACGUCCUUCUUAAUUACCUCAGUUUGCCUUACAGCCUCAUCGACAUCAUCUUGCACCUGAUCUUUUUUCGAUUGAAGUGCUUUUCGCUGCUUCUUGAAAUCUUCAACAAUUUUGGCAAAACAGAAAAAGAAAGUGAGAUAAGGUCAUGCUUAUUCUUUUGCCAGAUUCCCUACAGCAUGUAAAACUGCGGAUGGCAAUUGUAUUCAGCCUGCAACAACAUUGCCCGUAGACUAGAAAACUCAAUAUCACAGAGAAGGAAGGAAAGAUAUGGGAUGAAACAAGAAAGGGAACCAAAAUAAAAAAACAAAAAAGAGAUGAAGGAACCUGACCCUCUCAAAGAAAUAAAAACCACAACAUUGUACACCAGCCAAUGAAAACCCACAACCUUAAAACAUGUCGUAUCAAAGCAACACCUUAAGUGCCCUUGAAGAGUGGACCAGUUUCAAGCCACAGUAGAGCAACCACACCUCACUGCAAAAUACAAUAAAAAUAAAACACAUUAAGCACAACGUAUAUAAUGUCAGAAAAUGAUAAUGGCAGAUGUAGCGAGCAUAGACAAACUAGUCAUUUCAUUUGUUUUUUAUUAACCUUCCAUGCAAUUAAAGUAACAAAGGGUGGUCAAACAGAUUCAGCAUGCUUGCAUUCUUUCUGCUUUUGCUAAGAGCCAGGAAUAAUUAUGAAAAUAUGUAUAAUUCGUAAAAUCAUGUUUACCUGCUGUGGUUGUUGGUAAGCUUAUGGUUGCUGGUAAUUCCCAUAUCCAAGAUAGCCCCCAUAGGACAUGUUAGGAUCUUGGGGAGGAGGUGCAUAUCCAUAUGCUUCAAAUCCUUGAGCAUAUCCAUAAUAUCCACCAUUCCACUAGGCCUGAUCUGGUUGAGCCUGAAACUCCAACAGAUUUCCCUCUUAGUUUGUAGAAAUAUAUAUAGCAAGGUUUUAAUUACAAAAUACCAUGAUUUUAAAUACAAAACCUGAUUGCUUGAAGGACUACAUCCCCAUGAAAGUCAAAUGUUUCUUCCUCCUAAUACGAUGCCAUUCAAAACUGAUAAAGCUUGCUCUGCGUUAGUCCUGAAGUAUAUCAAAUUGCAGAAUAAAUUAAUAUAAUAUAAUAAUAUUUCACGCACUUAAAUAUUCGGAAGAAUUUACAGCUUACCUAUUAGCAUAUUGAACAAAACCACAACGCUUGUUAGCAGGAAUUUUUACAUGAACUACCUCACCCAGCUGGCUAAAUAUUUGUUUUAAUUGGUCUUCAGAAACACUAGGAUCCAAACCACCAACAAAUAUCUGCAUUUAAGCAUGUAAGAUUUCAGUCGACCACACCAUGAAAUAAGCAUAUUAAUAUAUAUAAAAAAGCUACCCACUGUGGUAUUAUUUGGAUCAUUCUCGCCAGGAUUUCCUUGAGUAUUUGGGUAAGAAGCUGCAAAUGACAAAUACAUGUAAACUACAAUAGAAUGAGAUGAUAAAAAAGCUCAUUGCUUCUCAAAACUCAAAUUAAACAUUGUUGAAAAAACCAAGCAUUAAGAUAAUACACUUAAAAAUACUAAAAAAGUUCUAAAAAAUUCCCUCCAUGGCAUGCAAAAGAACAAAAAUGUAAAACCACCAGCUAUACAUCACUCAAAAGUUACAAUUACAACCAUAAACCUCUUUGGGUUACAUCAAGGCUUACCAUUACCAGGGAAAGUGAAAAGUAUCAGACUAAAUGGAUUUCAAUAGUAGCCCAUAAAGAAAUCAUUAAUUACAUUACACUCAGGGAAUCGGUAAAGGUCCUAUUCUUUCAUUAACCUUUUACAAUAGCAUGAAAAGGAGAAAAAGGAAAAUUGAAAUCAGAGACUUAACUUUUCUCUGCACUUGACAUGAAAUAUUUCCUUUUGCUCCUUUCUUUCACACAUUUUUUGUAAGGGGGAGGGGAGGGAGGGAGGAAGCUGUCAGGGCUUAAAUAGAAUGAUUCACAACUUCAACUUCAAAGAUUAUGUUUUAGUAGAAAGAACCUAUCUGCUAAACUAAUUUCAGAAAUGCUUUAACAUUCUCUGCGUAGACAGAAACCUAUAGAGAUUAUAUUAGCAGCCACAAAAUGAUAAGAUGAAGAACAUAUUUAGAAAAUAAGGAAAUUCCUCUAAACUGAAGUGAUGCAAAACCUCAAAUGACAAGUAGAAAAAGAAUGCCUUGAAAAUGCAAUAUUAAUACUGGUAGAUUCAUACACAGCUAGGCCAUCACUAUUUAGGUUUUGGCAAUAAAGCAUGCACGAGUGAUCCACUUCCAUUGAGGUUAAAUCCAUUAACUGAAAAUGCCUUUAACUACAAGUCCCAGGUUUCUUUCCUGACUCAAUUUGUCCUCAUUUGUAACAGAGCAAUAGAAUGAGGACAAAGAAGUUACUAUAACGUUUAAAAGAAGCACAGAUAUAAAAUGCAAUAGAACAAAAAUUGCCCCAAGGCUCAAUAACAGAAUGGUGCAUGAUAACAUCCAUACCAACUUUACCCAUGGCUGCUUCACCUAGUUUUGAGCAUUACAGCUUGAAUUUAAAGGAAACAAAGAGAAGAGUGUAAACAUAUGCAAGUAUCAAAAGGGAACUUAUCUACGACGAACUUAGAAAAAAAAGGUUUCUGGAGUGGUAAAAGUAUCUAAAAAAAGAUUCAAAGGAAACAUGUUGGGAAAACUGAAACAACUUGUACUUGACUGGAAUACUUGAUAAGGAACUAGAAAAGUAAUUUACGAAUGUAGCACAAAUACUGCCACGAGAAAAUGAGGCUUACGAUAUAAACAAAGUAACUGACCUAAAAUGGGGCCACGCAUUAAAGUGGGAUCAUUUCAGCUGAUACCAGUUCCAGGCUCCCCAAAAUGAGAGCCUUUUUGGUGUCCUGCUUUAAGACAACAUGAGUUUUAAAUAAGUUUGUGAACGUUUUAAUAUAAUUAAACGUGCCCAAGUUUGCAAAGGCAAACUGAAAGGAAAUGACUUUGUAUAAAUUCUGCCGAUCUUCAAGUGCAUAACUGAAAGAAUUCAAAUUUUAAGGACACUGUAACAACUAACAAGUAACAACCUCGACUCAGAAAAUUAAAACCCAAAAACAAAAAUAGAAUAACCAACAAGCAUUCAACUUGUCAAGUCAAAGUUCUCUAAGAUAAAUCAUGGCAGAUAAAAACUAUAAAAAAACCAAGCAACCUUCAUGUUAGUUUGCCAAGAUCUAUUGAUGAGCAUGAAAAAUGCUCUGUAGAAAAGAGUAAAACCAGAAAACUAGAAGAAGAGAAAAACUGAUCAGGAAAUUGGAAGAAGAAAAACUAACUUCUCAUCGAGUCAAGAGUCUGUUACACCUAUUUAUACACAAGUCAUGCUGACAUCAAAGAAAGCCAAUCCUAAUUACAAAAUAAUUAAAUAUAUAAUCAGAUAUCUAUUUACACUUGGACACGUGUAUGUAUUUAACACUUCAUAUGAAAAUCAAGAUAAAUAAUGAAUUUAACAUAACCCGUUUGCUUAUUCCUAAUCAGCUUAGCUGAAGCCACCUAAACUAUCCCAAAAAAAUUAAACUUCCUUUAAUUACUUUUUACUGAUUUUAUUACUUAAGUAGUUAAGUUUAAAAGGAAAAGAAAGGAAAUUCAUUUAAAUAACAAAAGGGAAUAAUAUUUUGAUUUAUUAAAAUGUAUAUAAAACUGUGAAUUUUAUUGGACUAUAUUUGCUCCGUUUAAUUAAAUUUUAUUAUAUUUUUUUACUAUUUUACUAUUUACUUAGGCACUCUUAAAUCUUUUUUUUUUCUAAAAGCCCCUAAUUUUUUUUUCUAAAAUAAUAUAAUUAACUAAUUAAUUACCUCUCCAGUGUGAGCGAAGAUGUUGAUGAGGUAAUUCUCAUCCAUCCACUGCUAAAGAUCACCGAUCUAGAAGGAUCGAAUCUCACUGGAGCCGCAACGGCUGAAUCGGUGGAGUACUGCUGCAUCUGACCUAGCGGAGGAACGGGUUGUGGAGCCCAGUCGGAAGGUGGAGGAACCGGCUGACCCGCCUGUUGCUGCUGUUGUUGUUGUUGCAUCAUCAUCCACGGCUGCUAUUGCGGUUGCUGCUGGUACUGCUGGGUUUGAGACUGAUCAGCUGCCAUGGACUGCGGUGGAGCUACACCUCCUGCUGGGGGUUGUUGCAUCAUACUCGAUAGAUAGAUAGAUAGGGAAGAGAAUCGGGAGAUCUCAGAGAGGAGAGGAAACCCAAGUGGGGAAUUGAAAUUUUAUAAAGAGAGGAUUUUGUUUUAUUGACCAGAGGAUGCUUGUCGGGGUAACACGUGGAGAAUAGGAAUUACGUGGCAGUAAUGGGCUUUUGAUAGGGUAAAUCGAGUAUUCGGCUUGGUAUGGGCUAGAUUGGGCUGAGUUUGGGCUAAAAUUCUUUUUCUUUGUUAAUAAAAAACGUUUCUUAAGGAUGUAAUAAAAAAAGUUUUAAAAAAGAAUUUUUAUAGACAAUUGAAAUUUGGUGUUAAUAAGCAUAGCAAAAUUUUUUGAAAAUUAAGUAAUUAAAUGGAAUUGAAAUUUGAAAAUUAUUAAUAUAUUUUUAUGGUAUAAAAAUUAAUUAUUAUUUUAUUUUAUUCCCUUUAUAAAUUUUAUGACUUAUAAUUAUGAUGAUUUAGUAGAUGUCUGAUAAAUUAUUUCUUAAUCUAUUAAAUAGGAAAAUUUUUUUAUCAUUUCCCUUCGUCUCAUUAUCUUUGUUCUUUAUUGAUUUUUUUGUUAAAUAAACUCUGACUUUGAUCAUUAUUUUUAAAAACAUUGUAAAGUUAUAAAAUUUUGAAUUUUAAACAUUUAAAAUUUUUUUUUGAAUUUUUAAUUUUAUAUAGUAGUCGUUUAAUAUGGUAAGAAAAGUACAACAUGGUAAGAAAAGAAAUUAAAUUGAACUUAAUAAUUCUAAGUGCAUGCAGAAAUGGUCCAAUCCCUUUUUAUAAUUUUUAUUGUAAGCAUUACUUGGUAAAAUUUUCUUCUAUCAAUGAGUAAUUACUUCAUUUUAAAUGCUUUUUGCGAACUUGUUGCCUGGACUUUACUACCAUGGCCAGAUCUUAUAGGUUGGAGUACUAAUCAAACUCUCAAUAUUUCAAUAAAUCACUUAAAACCUUCAUAAAAUAAAAAUCUACUUGGCUUGUAUAGGGAAAUUAAAGUUUAAUUUCUGACGCAGGAGCGUCAAUGAUUGUAUUUUAUUAAAUUUAGUUUUUGCUAAUUUAGUUGAUUUAUGAUUUAUUUUCUUUAUUUUAUUUAAAUUAGGAUUCUUUUCUUAUUUUUAUUUUAAUACUUUUAAGAAUUAGUAUUUGAUUAGGAUAGUUAUGUUCUAUUUAGGAAUAGAACACCUAUUUUAUUUAAAUCUCUUAUUAAUUAUUCUAAUUGUAUUAGAUAACUAGGAGUAGAGUUUUAUUAGGAUUUGGGCCUAUAAUACUAUAAAUAGGACCCUUAGGCUUAGUUACGAGACAUUCAGAAUUGAGAGUUAAUAAAUAAUAUUUUCUUAAGCAGGAGUGCUUAUUUCUCUAGACUCUUUUAAAGGGUAAGAGGUUUUAAUAUCUUUGGCCUAGCCAACCAAAGUGGGAUUUUGGCUAUUUUUCACCUUAGUGGGGUUUUCAACCUUGCCAAGAUUGGUGAUUCACCUUAGUGGGGUUUUCAACCUCGCCACGAUUGGUGUUUUUCAUAACGCCUAGGUGUCUUUACAACGCCCCGGCGUCAAUUUCCCAUGUCUUGAUUUAAAAUAUAGAAAUAAGGAUAAGAAAUAGAAGAAUUUUAAGCUUAUUCUUCUACUAAUUGUGGAUGCAGUGAGAAACAUAACAUUGAUUAGGUAAAUUACUGAAAGCAAGUGAUCCCUUUGCUUGACAACUCUGUGAAGCCAACAUCUUGAUCAACCCAAAGCACAAUAAUUUCAACUACCUGUUUUUUUUUUUUUUUUGUUUAUGUAAAUAAUAAAGAUUAGCACAAGUAAACUACUAAAACUUGAUUAGGACUAGGCAAACAAGUGAGAGAAAUGAAAAUGGAAAGUAGCCUUUGAUCUACCUGUGUUUAGUUAAUGGCUCCAACAUACUCAUUGAUGUUUAAACAUGCCUUUGCAACUUCCCCUGCAAUCAUCUCAUAGUUCUUCCUUGUAAGGUGGUAGCUCACAAAGGCUCUUGCUCCGUCGAAUGGUCUUGGCGUCUUGCUUAACUGGUUGCGGUGUCUUUUUUAAACAAUUGAAACAAGGGAAUGUAAAACAAAAGUAUUAAUGUUACAUGUUAUGAGGGUAAAAGAAAAAAUAGACAUAUUAUAAUUUAUAAGCAUUUUAGGCCACAAAUUCAUUAAAAGUAAUGGAAUCAUUCACUAAAAGUGAUAUUCUAGAUCAAUCUUUUGGUUGCAGUGUACUACUCAAUCAUUUAAGUAAUUUUAGUAAAGACUUUGAAAAAUUAUGUAGUAUAAUAUUAUUAAAGACUAUAAUUGCCUUUGCACAUACUAAAUAAAAUCUUAAACUUAAUUCACAAAUCAACAAUAAAAACUCUUAAUCAUCAAUAACGAUUAUGUUGGGAGGAUAAGGAGAAUGAAUAAGGUAUUUUUAGUUUUUGUGAAUAAUAUUCUUGCAAAAGUCCAUGAAGAUGGCUUCAAAGGAUUUGGGAUCAAUUUGGAAAGGUUGUCAAUACAUUGUAGGGAGAAAUAAAAGCAAAUACAGCUAGAGGUAUCCUUUUAUCAUAUUUGGAUAUUUUAAUAAGGAUAGAAGAGCAGUCCAAAAUUUAAAUGGAGUCUGGCUUCUUAACCAAAGGCUAGAGGUCAAUAUAGCCAGCUAAGGAAGCCAUGAUUCAUUUUGAAGAAGGAAGCAAAAAGGAAGCUUCUGAUGCACCUAGUGUUAACCACAUUAGGAACGGAACCUGCAGUGGGAUUUUGAGACAACUUGGUUUUAUUCAUUAAGCCAUCUUAUGCUCUGUUAUUGAAAGGUGCUUUUGAAAGAGGUGGAGCUUCAAAUGAAGAGAGAGGAGAUGAUUUUCAAUGUCUGAAAAGCAUGGAAAACAUGCUUUGGUUGAAGAUAAGUGCUGUGGUAACAACGUAAUGUAAUUCAGAUCUAGCAAAUUUAAUGGAAUUAUUUAAAAUAGAGGGCAUUUCAGGGCUGCUUAUGAGGAGUUUGUCUCUCAAAGAAUUUCUGCUAACCUUUGAGGAUAAGGAGCUGUUGGAAGAGCUCAAGGAUAAAGGUUGGGAUUGGCUUAACAAAUGGUUUGCUAAGGUGGAAACAUAGUUAGAGAAUUUUUCAUCAAAACUCCUUAACAAGUGGGUGACUGCACAGGAUAUCCUUUUGAUGUGUGAAAUAGGCAUAUUAUAAAUUAUAAGCAUUUUAGGCCAAAUUCAUUAAAAGUGAUAUUCUAGACUAAGUUUUGGUUGUAGUGUCAUUCUCAAUCAUUUAAGUAAUUUAAAGACUUUGAAGAUCAUGCCUUAAAAUAGACAAGACUAAAGUUUUCAGGGUGUAUACCUCUGUUUUGGCGUGCACAUAUUCCUUUGUAUCUAUGAAGAAACCUGUAGUCAUCUUGGGACAUCCUUCUACUCUCAAAUCAUCCAAAGCUGAUAAUACAAAGUGAUAUCCCCUUGGGCAGAAGUCAACGAGGCUUGGCAGUUCUUCAAGUGAUAAACUGUAUAGUUGAUCAAACUUUAUCUCCUUUUCAGUUGUUGCUUCUGCUUCAUCUUCAAGUUCAAAUACUUGCUCCAAUUUAGAGUUCCCUUUAACCCAUAACGUAACAAGAUUUGGAAGACAACGAGCAGAUCCAAGAGGAAAGAGUCGUUUCAACUUUUUGCAAUAUAGAACAAAAAUUUUGGUCAAAUUAGGAAAGCUUAUAGGUUGGAGAUCACCAUCUGAUGAUGAACAAACUUGAUCCUCAGCAAUGAUUUGGUCCAAUUCAUCACAAUUUUGUAUUUCUAGAUUGACCAACCGUGAUAAACUUUGAGCAGUUGUAGGUGAAAAUAUGUAUCUUAGCCUCUUACAAUCAAUCACCUUCAAAAUUGUAAGGUUCUCAAGAGUUACAACCUGAGCGACAUCCUUCCAUAUAAUCCACUUUUCAGAUAAAUCCUCCAGGAGGAGUUUCUUUAUACGCCCAUGAACUUGGAAUACUUCUUCAUGACUCCCAACUGCUAUAUAUUCUUGAUUGCAGUUGGCUGAAAUACGCAAUUGAAAGCUAUUCACCAACAUAGAGAGAUAUAAUUCCUGCAAAUACAGACACCACUAAAUGUCACUGAAUAAGUUCCUUUUCUAUUAGAUUGGGAAUAGAUGAGCAAAUAUUACUCAUAAUUUUUUAGAUGCCGAUUCACAAAAAAUCCCUACAUUUUUAAUGAUAGGACAUUUAUAUGUUUCAAAAUUUAAAUCCAAAAUUUUCAUGAAAUGCUCUGAAAGUGGAAUCCAAAAACAUCUACCCUCUUUCAAGUUUUCUCUGUUAAUUUUUAAAAUAAAACCAUUUAUGGUUUUCCUUGUCUUGUGUUUUUUUCUUUGUCAUUUUUUCUUUAAGCAUGUUGUUUUGAAAAGUAUAGAUAAAGUGGUAAAGUGUUAAUUUUUUUUAAUUUACCUAAAUUACAUAAAAAAAACAUAAAAGAAACGAACCCCCCGGAAAGCCUAACUUUCUCAAUCUGUUUCUCUUGUCUGCAACAGAAAGUAGAAACACUUUGAAUAAAAAAAAAGGGAACUCAUGGCCAAGAAGAAAAAGAAAACUUAAAUUGAAGAAGAAAGAGAAAAUUCGAAUCAAAGAAAGCAAGAGAAACUAGAAUCGAAGAAGAAAAAGGAAGCUUGAACAAGAAAAAAAGCAAGAUUUGUCGUCGUGAAGAAAAAAUAUGAUGAACCUCAAUUCAGAAACAAGGACAAGGAAACCCCAAAGAUCCCCACAAACAAAUUAAAAUUUGUUUUUCAAAAUAAAUAGUAUAAAAUUUUUGUGCUGCAAUUUUAAAAUAUAAUUGGAUUAGUUUGUGAGUGUUGAAAAAAAGAUUUAGCUCAAAGGCAAAAUCCAAAACCAUAAUUGAAGGAAAAGUGUAUAAAGAAAUACCUCUAGCUGAAUUUGCUCAUUAACUUCUUUUUGAAUAGUGAAAUUUCUCAAUUUAGGACAGUUGCAAACUUUCAACUUCUCCAAGGAUGGUGAUGAGAUGAGAAAGUUUUCCGAACUCAAAUUUAUCAAGUUUACAAGUUGAAAAUCUUGUAGGCAAGGGAGUCCAAUGGCACGAUGAGUUGGCCUUUUCCAUAUGCUCUUCAAUGUUGGUAAUGACUGUAGCUCCAACCUUCUUAAAUUUGAGAGUGGUACUGCCUGAUUUACCUCACAUAAAAAAAAUAUAAAAUUUAUUAAUUAAUAAAUAAUGAAAAUGAAUUGUUUAUACUUGAUCUUAAUUACUGAGAAGAAAUACAUUUUGUUAAAAAAAAGUAGAAAGAAGUAUUAAAAGUUAAUAAUUUAGAAAGAUUAGAUAGUAAUUAUUUAUAUAUUUGAUAAUUCAAAAAAAAUCAUUAGAAAAACAAUAUACGAGACCAUUAUUAAAGGAAAAAUGAAGAGAUAAGAGGUACCUCUAGCUCAGCCAUCUCUUUGUCAAAAGCAAAGACUUGCUUUAAUUUUUUGCAUUAAGAUAUCUCAAGUGUUUCUAGAUGCAACAGACUUUGAACAAGGUAAGGUGAGAAGAUAGAUUUUAGUUUAUCACAACCAUCAAUUGUUACUUCCUUCAGACUUUGUAGCCUUACAUGAUGAGUUGGCCCUUUCCAUAUGCUCUCCAAUGCUGGUAAUGACUGCAAUUCCAACCUUCUUAAAUUUGAGAGUGGUACUGCCUGUUUUACCUCAUAUAAAGAAAAAUAUAAAAUUUAUUAAUUAAUAAAUAAUGAAAAUGAGUUCUUUAUACUUGAUCUUAAUUACUGAGAAGAAAUACAUUUUGUUAAAAAAAAGUAUUAAAAGUUAAUAAUUUAGAAAGAUUAGAUAGUAAUUAUUUAUAUAUUUGAUAAUUCAAAAAAAUCAUUAGAAAAACAAUAUACGAGAGCAUUAUUAAAAGAAAAAUGGAGAGAUAAGAGGUACCUCUAGCUCAGCCAUUUCUUUGUCAAAAGCAAAGACUUGCUCUAAUUUUUCGCAUUUAGAUAUCUCAAGUGUUUCUAGAUGCAACAGACUUUGAACAAGGUAAGGUGAGAAGAUAGAUUUCAGUUUAUCACAACCAUCAAUUGUUACUUCCUUCAGACUUUGUAGCCUUACAUGAUGAGUUGGCCCUUUCCAUAUGCUCUCCAAUGCUGGUAAUGACUGUAGUUUCAACCUUCUUAAAUUUGAGAGUGGUACUACCUGUUUUACCUCAUAUAAAGAAAAAUAUAAAAUUUAUUAAUUAAUAAAUAAUGAAAAUGAGUUCUUUAUACUUGAUCUUAAUUACUGAGUAGAAAUGCAUUUUGUUAAAAAAAAGUAAAAAGAAGUAUUAAAAGUUAAUAAUUUAGAAAGAUUAGAUAUUAAUUAUUUAUAUAUUUGAUAAUUCAAAAAAAUCAUUAGAAAAACAAUAUACGAGAGCAUUAUUAAAAGAAAAAUGGAGAGAUAAGAGGUACCUCUGGGUCAGCCAUUUCUUUGUCAAAAGCAAAGACUUGCUCUAAUUUUUCGCAUUUAGAUAUCUCGAGUGUUUCUAGAUGCAACAGACUUUGAACAAGGUAAGGUGAGAAGACAGAUUUUAGUUUAUCACAACUAUCAAUUGUUACUUCCUUCAGACUUUGUAACCUUAUAUGAUGAGUUGGCUCUUUCCAUAUAUUCUCUAAUGCUGGCAACGACAUCAACUUCAAACUUCUUAAAUUGGAGAUUGUGCGCGUCAGACUUUCUUCCUUUCCAAAAAGCCAAUUCAUUUGAAACACUGAUUGCAACUGCUUACAAUCGACAAUGCUCAAUGUUUCUAACUUUUCUAAGAAGCUAGUCGGUGAUUGACCAUGGCACAACUCUUUCAAAGAAGUCAUGAAUCUAAUGUGUAAGUUCACCAAAUUAGAGAAUGCAGUGGUUGGACUUUGUUCUCGUGUUGUAUCGAUCAAGCAUUCCAGAUGAGUGCAAAAUGAAAGCUCAAGAGAAGUUAAUUCCUUUAGUCCACGCUGAUCUACAUUUGGGACAAUAUUUUUGUAUUCCAUUGGGACUUGGGACAGAGUAAGAUCUUCAACAUUGCAAAACAGCUCCUUAAAUGCAUUUAAUGAGGAUGAGAAAUGCUUAAUUCUCAAGGUUCUCAAGCGCAGCCCCGCCAAAUCUUGAAUAUAGUCAUUUACAGCUAUAUUGUAGCUUUGUAGUUUAGGGAACACAAAGUUUUCCUGAGAACAUUGAUGAGUAGAAACUUUAAGUGUUAAUGCAGUCAAACCAAACAAAGAAUUCAG
This 48512-nucleotide long non-coding RNA is filed under the name Theobroma cacao (cacao). Its description in RNAcentral is "long non-coding RNA (TCAC_LNC004178)". The record is from RNAcentral. Lineage: Eukaryota; Viridiplantae; Streptophyta; Magnoliopsida; Malvales; Malvaceae.